UUUUUUUUUGGUAGCCGGCCUCUGAUCAGUCGGUUUGCCCCUAGCAAAACCCUCUCCUUCCGCCGACGACCGGGGCCGCAGGGGUAGAGCGCCAGCUCGUCCCUGACCGCGCGGUGGACGACACCGACGACCCGGACUUGGGAGCGGCCGCCAUGGAAGACGCCAUCGUGGGGGAAAGCGACGAGGUCGGAGGCAUGGGGCUCACGGCCGGCUUCGAGGACUGGCCGGAUGAUGCCGAGGUCGAAGUCGCCCCGCGCCGCCAGCCAGCGCCUGAUCAUCAAGGCGCGAGCUCGUCCGCCGCGUCGGCUGCUGGCGGCGGCUCCCAGAAGCGUCGGGCCGUGUCGAUCCUCUUCGGCAGCCGGCCGAAGAAGUCCAAGGCUUCAACAGCGGCGACCAAGCGAGAUGAGGCGGCCGCGAAGGUGGCCCACUUCCGCAAGGCGGUGAAGCAGCCGCAGGCGAUCUCAGCGUAAGUCGUCGAAUGCUUGGAUACAUAUUUUUCGUUGUUCUUCUUUUCAAUUGAAAACUCUUCUAAACCUUUCUUUGCUUGCCGGACAGGGCGCCGCUUUCCCUUGAGCGGGGUCCGGGCUGCUCCGUAGUCGGGCCGACUGGAGGGUCUUCAGGCUCCCGCCGCGUGGAUCCUCGCGCCGACCUCAGGGAGGCCACGGAGCAAAAUGCACGAGAGGCGCGGGAGGAGCGGGAGGCGGUGGAGCGAAGGGCUGCCCAGGCGACGAAGGAGCAGGCCGAUGCAGCAGCCAAGGCCCGGGCGGAGGCGGCAGCUGCGGAGACGGAGGCGGAGGCUUCGCACAACCAGCCUCCGCUGCUAGCCAUUCCCCUCCGCGUCGUGGCCCCCAACAUUCUUGUGCCUCCGCUGGAGGAGGUCGACCAAGAACCGCCAGUGAUGGAGCGGAGGGAGGACUCCGUGAUCUUCAUGGAGAGGGAGCUACCGGCAGCGCCAACCGGAGCGGGCCAAGGCGGCCAGUCGGCUGCGGCGCCAGAGCAGCCGGCUGGGGGUGAGCCGGAAGCAGGAGCCGGCCUCGAGGUGCAGCCGGCAAUGCGCCAGCACGCAGCGGGAGGCACCGCUGCGCCGGAGCCGCACCGAGCUACGGGUGCCAGCCAGACGGUGGAGGCCUUGGAGGCGGCCAGCACCGGCAUGUCCGAGUGGACUCCUAGCGGCAGGACGGGCGAGCUGAAUGUGGCGGCCCAAGAGGUUCGGAACCGGCUUCAGGCCCAAGCCGCCUCGCUGCAGCAAUACACCCAGGAGUUCCUUGCGACGCGGGCCGUCAUCCGGGUGAGUCUUCUAUCUUUGGUUGCUUUGUUCUCUUGACUUCUUCUGGGGGGGCGCGUCAGCGCACCCACUGGGUGUAGUCCCCGAGCAGUCGGGUCGGAUCUUCCUUGACGACUAUCUUAUUCUCGCCUCCUGUCUAAUCUUCCAGGAGUAUCAUAACCUCCGCGCUGCCGCCUUCAACUCCCAGGCUCAGGAGCUGGGUCGGAGAACCGAAGAUCUGAUCAGCAGCCGGAGUACGUACUUGGUUUCGUUCAACUCCUGUGGGGGCGCAUCAGCGCACCCACUGGGUGUAGUCCCCGAGAUUCGGGCCGACUGCUGAGCAGUCGGGUCGGAUCUUUCCUGACGACUUCACCUUACUGGUUUUUCUUUUGUCUUUCGUGCUCGCAGAAGCCAAUGCCGACUUAAGGGGGCAGCUCAGCGAGGCGCAGGCCGCCCUUCGUGCCAAGGAAACUGAGUACGACGCCUUGGUCCUGGAGCGUGACCGCCUGGCCAAGAAGCUGGCUGACCAGGAGGAGAGCCACAAGGCGGCUCUGAAGAAGGCGCAGGAUAACGAAGCCGCCCUGAAGGCCGAGUUCGAGACUGAAGCGGCAGGCUGGGCUGACCAGGCAAGCGCUGAAUGAAGGCUUCGGCUGUAUUGAGGAUUUGAUCGACGGUAAGCCGCCUUCCUCGCUCCUUGCCUGCCCCUUGCCGCCUGACUUGUGUUCUGACUUGAGCUGCUUUUUAUUCUCUGUGCAGACUACUUUCCUGGCUACUCCGUCUUCGCCGCCCAAACCAUCGAGGCCCAUCGCGAAGCGCGCCGAUAGGCGGGGGCUGAAGUCGCACCGGACGCGAGUCGGUCGCUCGAAGAGCAACUCUUGGCGGUCCAAGUGCGGCUGCAGCCGGCUCAUCGUAUGCUCCGCCGCCUCCAGCGCGCCGGAGCGCAGGUGUUGGCCGCCCUCUGGCCAAGCGAGAUGAUUCCCCGCACCCCGAGUUAGACUGCCGACUGGCUGGAGGUUGCGGUUGGCCGCUUCGAGGCCUGGAAGGCGUCGGUGGCCCGGCUCGGAGCUGGGUGGGCGCUGGAGUUCGUCCGAGCUUGGUAUCCGGGGCUGAACCUGGACCAGCUGCGCACCUGGCAGCUGGAGGCCGACGAAGAGCUAGCGGAGGUGCGGCCGGCUAUCGCUCAGCGCGCAUCGACAAUCGCCGAGUGUACUGACAUCAGCGUCUUCACUCCCGAGAUUAAUGAUGACGGUGUUGCCCAGCCGAAGGAGUGGUUCGGGCUGGACCCGGUGGCGGGUGAAGACUCGGCAGAAGAGAUCGCCUCCAGCGAUGAAGGAGAGGAAAGCAAAGACGUCGAGCCGGUCGGUGGAACAGCCAGCCAGCCUCAGCCUGACCGUGCCUCCAGCAACGAGGCGCGCGCAAGCGCGCCUUCUGCGGGAGGCGGUGAUCAUGCCGAGGUUCGCCAGCCGGCCACUCCUUCAGCCGGCACUGCCGUCUCCACCGACCUGCCCGGCUCGUCAGUCGCUCCGCCGGCUUAAUCUGCCGUCCUUGUUUUUCCCUGCUUGUUGCCUUCUGAACAAUUUUAUUAAGCUUCCGCAGUUCCACCCACUGGGGGUGUAUCCAAACUAUGUUGAAUGCUGGCCUUUUGAAGGUCUUUUAUGUAAAUAUUAUCAUGUGCAUGUUUGGUUUCCAUUCACGUAUGCUUUUUAUCCUUAGGUUGUUUCCUUUGCCGCCUUCCCCUUCUGGGAAGGCAAGUACUCGAGCUUUCUUAGAUUGGAGCGAGGUGAAUGGAAGCCGGCCGGCCGGCUACUCUGGUAAUCGGUCGGCGGUGGGAGAAAACCGGCUUUUGUUAUAUUAGUCCGUUAGUCCCUAGCCGUUUUUCGUGUGGGCACCCGUUCCUACCCUUAACUCUUGCCAGCCGGACAGCCGGAUCUUCGAACUGCGACUUUUGGCAAGAGAAGGCUUGGGAGCUGGCACACUACUUGUCUGACUGCGGGUAGGACUUCUAAUAUAACUCCAGGCGGCUAGUCCCCGGGCCGACUAGUCGAACCCGGUGCCGGACGGAAAAAAGUGAAUGCAAUGACAAGGCCGUAAGCAUGAUACCUUUCAUUUAUAGACAAAAGAUGGCAGUCCCCGAGCUCUCCUCGGGGGCCCUAUUGUCUCGUACUUAUUACAAAAGUUAGCGUGAUACAUACUGCAAUUCAGCUGUAAAACCUUCGGAGGAGGUUGGCGUUCCAUGGUCGUUCCGACUCCUUACCGGAGUCGUCUUUGUUUCGUGCCUUUGGCUUCUGCGCGUCGAUCAGGUAGUAGGAGUCGUUGCCUAAGGCUCUGCUGAUGACGAAGGGGCCCUCCCAAGGGGCUGAGAGCUUGUGUUGACCGGCUGUUUGCUGGAUCAGCUGGAGCACAAGAUCGCCCUCUUGGAAGGAUCUUGGCUUGACCUUCCGGCUGUGGUAGCGGCGCAGGCCCUGCUAAUAGAUGGCGGACCGGCUGAGGGCUAACAGCCGGCUUUCUUCUAGCAGGUCGACGCCGUCUUCUCGUGCUUCCUUGGCCUCCGCUUCCGUGUACAUGGUUACUCGAGGUGAGUCGAACUCGAUGUCAGUUGGGAUGACCGCCUCGGCACCAUACACGAGGAAGAAAGGGGUGAAGCUGGUUGACUUGUUUGGUGUAGUGCGCAGACUCCAGAGGACAGCCGGCAGCUCAUCGAGCCAACAGCCGGCCGAACACUCCAGUGGUACGAUCAGUCGGGGCUUGAUGCCGGAAAGGAUGAGGCCGUUGGCUCGCUCGACCUGGCCGUUUGACUACGGGUGGGUGACGGAUGCUAGAUCCAACCGGAUGCCUUGCGUCGCGCAGAAACGUGCCAAGGCUCCCUUGGCGAAAUUUGUGCCAUUGUCGAUGAUGAUGCUGUGUGGCACGCCGUACCGAGUUGUUAUAUCUGCGAUGAAUGUCACGGCAGUUGGCUCAUUCAGCUUCUUUAUCGGCUUUGCCUCAAUCCAUUUGGUGAAUUUGUCCACGGUGACAAGCAGGUGUGUCAUGCCGCCGCGCGCCGUCUUGAAUGGGCCCACCAUGUCCAGUCCCCAAACGGCGAAGGGCCAAGUGAGGGGAAUGGUCUUGAGUGUCGAAGCCGGCAUGUGUUGCUUGGAGCUGAAGAGUUGGCACCCUUUGCAAUGUUUAACUAACUCCUUAGCGUCAUCCAAAGCAGUCAGCCAAAAGAAACCAUGGCGGAAGGCUUUGGCGACGAGUGAUCUUGAGGCCGCAUGGUGGCCGCAUUCUCCAUGGUGGAUGUCUCUGAGGAUUGCAAUGCCCUUCUCUUGCUCGACACAUCGCUGGGGGACUCCAGUGACACUGCGCUUGACGAGCUCUCUGUUGACGAUUGUGUAUGCUCCGGCUCGGCGUUGGACUUGUCUUGCCUCUACUUCGUCAGCGGGCAGAUCUUGGUUUAUUAGGAAGUUGAGGAUGGAUUGAGCCCAUGACGGAGCUGCGACUUCUUCUAUUGCCAAAACGGCUACUGCGACCAGGGCGGGCGGGCUGGGCGGUGAAAUGCUGGAGUCGGACGCCGCCUGUUGUGUUGGUGUAGUCUCCGGGCCGACUACCGCAGUCCCCGAGCUGGGUGAGGCAGUCCCCGGGUCGGGCGUAACUACGGAAGUCCCCGAGCCGCCUGCUGAUACCCCCUGGCCGACUAUCGAAGUCCCCGGGCCGCCUGCUUGGUUCUUCGAGCCGGACCCGGCCGCGUCGGGGUCAGGCGGCACGAAGAUGGAAUCGGACUCUGGAGACGGCUUGAUAGACGGCUUGAGAAGGUGUUGUAGAGAGACGCCGAUUGGUAUUGCUUGCCGGGUGGAGCCUAUUCGAGCCAGAGCAUCAGCUGGCUCGUUGUCGGCUCGUGGUACGUGGAGGAACUCGCAUCCUUCAAAAUACCCACUGAUCUGCUGAACGAGGAAGCAAUAGCUUGCCAUAUUUGCGUCCUUGGCAUCCCAGUCGCCGGAUGAUUGCUGGACCACCAAGUCCGAGUCGCCAUUACAUAGGAUCCGGCGAAUGUCGAGUUCUUUGGCAAGCCGGAGCCCGUGUAUGAGCGCCUCGUACUCGGCCUCGUUGUUGGAGGCGGCAAAGUGGAUUUGCAGCGUGUAUCUGAGCUUGUCGCCUUUGGGAGAGGUGAGGACGAUGCCGGCUCCCAAGCCGGUGCGCGUCUUGGACCCAUCGAAGUGCAUGCGCCAAUGAGUGGAGUCGGGAGCCGGCGGCAGGUACUGGGUCUCGGCCCAGUCGACGAGGAAGUCGGCCAAUGCUUGGGAUUUGAUGGCGGUGCAAGGCUGGUAGAAGAUCGCGUAAGGGGCCAGCUCGAUGGCCCAUUUCGCCACCCGGUCGGAUGCAUCCCGGCUGCCUAUAAUCUCGGCCAGCGGGGUGGUGCAUACAACCGUGAUGGGAUGCUCUUGGAAGUAGGGCUUCAGCUUCUUGGCGGCGAAGUACAUGCCGUAGCACAUCUUCUGGUAGUGCGGGUAGUUCUGCUUCGAGGUAGACAGCACCUUGCUCAAAUAGUACACCGGCCUCUGUACCGGCUAGGCUCGGCCUUCUUCUGGGCGUUGGACUAUGAUGACGGUGCUGACCACCCGGCUGGUUGCGGCAAUGUAGAGGAGCAUGGGCGCUUUCUCAGUCGGUGCCGCCAGGACUGGCGGUGUGGCCAGCAUCUUCUUCAGCUCGUGGAAAGCUUGGUCAGCUUGGUCAUUCCACUCGAAGUGGGUGGUCUUCUUCAUGAGGCGGUAGAGGGGGAGAGCUUUCUCUCUGAGCCGGCUGAUGAAGCGGUUUAGGGAGGCCAAGCACCCGAUGAACUUCUAGAUGUCCCGAAGCUUGGUGGGAAUCGCCAUUCUCUCAAUGGCCUUGAUCUUUACUGGGUUGCAUUCGAUGCCGCGUUCGGAGACCAGGAAGCCUAGGAGCUGGCCGGCUGGUACUCCGAACACGCAGUUCUCGGGGUUAAGCUUGAUUUGAAACCGGCGUAGGUUCUCAAACGUUUCCUUGAGGUCUUCCAGCAAGGUGUCGCGCUUCUCCGUCUUCACCACAAUGUCGUCUACAUAGACGUGGGCAUUUCUGCCGAGUUGCUUGAGGAGGCACUUCUGCAUGCAACGCUGAAAAGUGGCACCGGCAUUUCUCAAGCCGAAUGUCAUAGUCAGGUAGCAGAAGGCUCCAAAUGGCGUGAUGAAGGUGGUCUUCAGGCGGUCUGCCGGAUCUAACUUUAUCUGGUGAUACCCUGAGUAAGCAUCCAAGAAACUCAACAGCUCGCAUCCGGCCGUGGAGUCUAUCACUUGGUCAAUCCUUGGUAGGGCAAAGGGAUCUUUGGGGCAGGCCUUGUUGAGGCUCGUGUAGUCUAUACACAUGCGCCACUUGUUGUUCUUCUUUAGCACGAGGACCGGGUUGGCGAGCCACUCUGGAAAGAAAACUUCCAUAAUGAAGCCGGCUGCCAGAAGUCGGGCUAUCUCCUCUCCCACAAUCCUGCGUUUCUCCUCCGACAGUCGGCAGAGGGGUUGUUUGACUGGCUUUGCGUCUUCUCGGACGUGUAGUUUGUGCUCGGCGAAUUCCUUCAGAACGCCCGGCAUGUCCUUGGGGGACCAUGCAAAGAUGUCCCGAUUCUCACGGAGGAAAUCGGCGAGCUCGCCUUCCUAUUUGCUGUUUAGGUUUGCCCCGAUGAUGGCAAACCUCUCUGGGUGCUCGGGGUCAAGAGGUAUAUUCUUCGUCUCCUUGGCCGGCUGGAAAGAUCCUUGAGCAUCAUGCUCCUUGGGAUCGGGGGACAAGGCCGACUGCUUGCCGGCUAUGGCCACGACUCUGUCCAACAUCUUCUUUUCUUCGUCAAUCACAAGGGACUCGGCCAGCCGGCUGCUGGCUGCUGCGCACUCAGAGGACUUCUUGUAAUCGCCAGCUACGGUGAUGACGCCUUUGGUGCUUGGUAUCUUCAUCUUGAGGUAUGCAUAGUGGGGAACUGCCAUGAAUUUGGCCAAGGCAGGUCGGCCAAGCAAUGCAUGGUAAAGGCUCUCCAGGUCCACCACUUCAAACCAGAUCGCUUCCCGGCAGAAAUGCUCCUUGUCCCCAAAAAGUACAUCAAUCUUGAUCUUGCCAAUGGGGGCGCAGGACAGGCCGGGUACGAUGCCAUGGAACACUGUCCGAGUAGGCAUGAGUUGCUUUGUCUUGACGUUCAGCUUCUCCAUGGUGUCGCGGUACAAGAUGUUGAUGCUGCUCCCGCCGUCUAUCAACACACGGGAGAAGCGGGCGGCGCAUCUGUCCAUUGCAAGGGUGGCAUCCAGAACCAAUGCAUAAGAGCCGGGAGAUGGCAUCACCUCUGGGUGGUCGGCCCGGCUCCAGCUAAUAGGUUUUUCUGACCAGUGCAUGUGCUCGGCGGGGUUGGCAGAAACCAUGCUGACUUCCUGGUUCUCUCGGCGUUUGCUGCGCCGGUCUUCGGGCUGGCUUGUAAAGACGAUAUAGGCGGCAUGCUCGUCGGGGAAUUCAUCAUGCACGGCUCCGACUGCGGGCCGAGCGGCCGGCGGCGGCGGAACCGGAGGCGGCGGGCCGGCAGGCGGAGGCGGCGCGAGCCCUUCGCCUUUGGAGAUUCGGGUGAGCCAAUGGCACUUCCGAGUUGCAUGGUUGGAUGGCUUCGCGCCGCUGUGGAACUUGCAUGGGGCGUCGAGAGUUUGCUCGUAGGAGAAGGCCGACUGCCAAGCCGGCCUGCCGCCCUUGGGUUUCUUGAGCAUGGGCCGCCCUUCGGGCGGCACGUCUUCGACUAUGGCCACCUGCCGACUGGCGGGAGGCGGCGCGGGGCCCUUGCGCUUGUGGUCGUUCGAGUGUGGGCGUCGGCCGGAAUCCCCAGCCGGCGUCUUGGGCGCCGGGUUGAGUACUUUUCCGGACGCGUCUACCCGGAGCUCGUUCUUCAUUGAGGAGUCGGCGGUGGCGUACUUGUCCGCUAUGUCCAGAAACUCGUCGAGGGUAGUCGGCUCGUCGUAGAGAAGCUUGUGCUUGAGGAGGGUGCCUUCUCGGCACCCGGCUGUGAAGUAUUCUAUGGCUUGCACCUCGUGCACCCCUUCGCAAGAGUUGCGGAGCUCGGCCCAACGCGUGAGGUAGUCGCGAGUUGACUCGGCGGGGCCUUGUACGCACAAGGAGAGCUGUCUGGGCUUGGGAGCCCGCUUGUAGGUGCUGGUGAAGUUGCGGACGAAAGCUUCUGUGAAAUCUAGCCAGCUGUUGAUGCUGUGUGGUUUGAGGCUGUUGAGCCAGGUCCGCGCCGUGCCUUGCAUCAUGAGGGGCACGUACUUCACGGCAAUGCGCCGGUUGCCGUUGGCUAUGCUAACCGCCAUGGAGUAGUCGAUCAACCAAUCUUCCGGCUUCACGGAGCCGUUGUACUUGGGCGUGUCUCUUGGGAGCGAGAACCCUUUGGGGAAGGGCUCGUCGCGGAUGCGGGGGCCGAAGCAAGGCAGACCGACAUCGUCUUCUUCUUCCAGCGCCAGGGAUCGCGCCAGGCAGUCGAUCCGAUGGCGGGUGUCGUUUUUGCCAACUCCUUCGCGGCGACCUAGUCGGCCGCUGAGAGUCGGAUGCACAACAGGCAGAGGGGUGGGAUAUCUCUCUCCACAGGGCCGAGGAGGAGGCGGGUUGCCCCGCCACUCCACGGCCCGUGGGUGGCCUUCCGCGUCUCGCUCGAUGGAGAUCCGGGUUUGGCUUCGGCUGGCAGCCGGCUCUUUCUCGCGCCGCGCGCGGUCUCUACCUGCAGUCGGUGUCUGGGACGUCGUGCCGUGAUCUCAGCGCGGUGGGAGGGCUUUCCGCGCGGGCACCGGCUUCGUGCCGCUGCACGGCUGCAUUGAUCAGCUGCUGGAUGCGUCGGGUCAUGUGGGGGAGUUCUUCGGCCCCCAGUCCGUCUAGCUCGUCUACGGCCGCUUGGGCGGCGCGCAGGUUCUCGAGUGGAGUGGCGUAAACUGGGCGGUCAACUCCUAACGUGUCGGCAAUGACAGCGCCGCGCUGUCUGACAACGCCGACCCGGCUGGGCCCGCCUGGGGGCGGCGUGCCAAAGGCGGCGCGGUCGGCCUCGCGUCGGUGGGCCUCAGCGAGGCGUCUCAUGGAAACCAACUUCCGGCCCUCCGCGAGGAGGGCGAGGCGGCGAGCCUCCAGUGCUUCAGCGUCGGCGUCGGCCGGGAGGGGGAUGGACAAGUCGUGGACCGUCGCGUGCGGGGCGUCGUGGGCGCUCUCGUCCGCAGCGCCGUCGUGGCCGAUGACCAUCACCUCGGUGGUGACAGCGUCACAGACAUCGGCUCGGGGAAGCGGGUCAUUAUAUAUCGUGACGUUGGUGGGGAAGGUGUCGAAUGAGGCCGUGUCAGAGUCGACAGGCAUCGGAUCGGUGGAGCCAACCGACUCCAAGUCCACAGCAGGCUUGCCGGAGACAAGGAGCCGGCCGAGGAGGUUGACGAGGUGGUCGGUGCCCGCGUCGAAGGCGAGCUCGUCGGAGAUGAGGGUCUUGUCGAGGAGAUCAGCGAGGUUGCUCGCUGUGCAGGCGUUGGUGACGCCUUGCAGCGCGUCGUGGCAAGCGACAUCGGCCGUGCCGGGCUGGCUACGCUCGCGGGGGAGGAAGAGGGUUCCCGUCCAGAAUAGGUCUCCGGACGAUGGAGCACCUGGCCCCACGGUGGGCGCCAAAUGUCGGGUGGUAGGUGCGACAUAUGCCAACGGGUGGCUUAUCAUUGUGGGAGCCAGUAAAACAUCGCCGGUGCCUGGAAACGGGAUGAGGCGAAGACAUGCACGCCGGCGAAUUUUACCCAGCUUCGGGGCUCUCCAUGGAGAUAACACCCCUACUGCUGCUCUGCGGGGUCUCCGCAUGAUCACUAGAUGAACAAGUAGCUACAUGAUGCUCCUUGAGCUGUUUGGCGAGAGGAGGAAGAAGGGCUCUGCUUGCUCUCUUCUCCUCCCUACGUGGUGUCUAAAACUAGCAGGGAUCCCUCCUUGGCAUGGGUGUCCCGGGGGGUUUAUAUAGGCCUACCCCCUGGGGGUACAAUGGUAAUCCGGCUGGGCAUGGGGCCCAGCCGUCUAUGUCUUCGCUCUCCGGCUUCUGCGCCGGCUGCUGGGGCCCACCGGCUGGUGGGUCCCGCCGGCUACCGGCUCCUUGGUCGACAGGCAGGCCCCACUGUCCAGGGCCUUGUCGGUGGCUGGUUACUGUUGCUCAAUCUUGGUGACGAGGGCUUCGCUGAGGUAAGCGUGGCUACAGUGUUGCCGUCCGGUGGAUGACCACUAUAGCCUCACCACGUCUUGUCUCCUUAAUGGGGCGUCUCCUUCGAGGGGGUGGCAAGCCGGCUGGAGAGAGCCGGCUCCGUCUUGGGCUGUCUGGGGGAGGCCAGGCCGCCUUCAGGUGUCUCUCUGCCCGAAGGGGCCCACCGCCCGUGGGCCGUACUGGUAGCCCGUCGUGGCUGACAUCAGGGUUAACGUGGCAACAGUGCUGCGCCGGACGAGUCAUGGCCACCCGUACGGCGCACUGUGCCAGGCGCGCUCCGGGAUUCGGGGGUGGCAGGUUUCACUGUAGCCACGCCCCGUCACAUCGCCGUUAUGUGGAUGCAGACUUCGAGGGUACGGUCUUGACCGCUUUAUGGGAGCCGGCUCCUUGGAGUCGGCCUUCUCGCAGCCGGCUCCUCGGAGUCGGCCCUCCCGCGGCUUCCUUCAUGAGGGCUGAAGUUGGGCCGCCUUCCAAUAGCCGGCCUGGGAGACAGCUGGCCAGGGAAAGGCGGCCCCGUGUCUUGGAUUCUUGAGAGCCGGAUUGGCUCGUAAUUUUUUUAGAAAGGCCGGGGGGAGCCGGCUAGGCUACCCGUGGUCACUUACUCCAACAUUGAUAAAGUUCAUGAAGUUUUCAACCCCCUCGACAUAUGUAGCGGAGAAUCUUCGAGCGGAAGUUAUCCAAGCCUUGUCCAUCUGUUAGACAUAAAAAUUAUUUCUUCUACUAGAUAUUACAGGAAAAACAUAUAUGCUUUUUUAUGAAGUCCAGAAAAAAAAUACCUAGCUCGAUGUCUAAAGCUAUGGCAAGAUAUUUGGACGAGCAGAUCUAAGUAACGAAAUAUAUGUAAAGCUAAUUCAGCAAACAGAUUUGAGUGCCAAAUUAUGGCAGGCUGUUUCAGCAGUCAAUGAGGCCGAGCACACAACCGUCGAACUAUCGAAGGCCAUCGCAGCAACAAAGAUUGAGUAUAAAAUGGUGUAGAGCUAUUUCACCUAACAGAUUGGCAAUCUAUGUUAGAAUAAAUAUAUGGCAGGAUAUUUUAGCAACUAAUCGGCCUUGGCAUGCCAUCUCAGCUAAGUAGAUUGAGUACAGAACAGGGCAAGGAAGCUUCUUAAGCAGAGCAUAUUGACAGUAAACUACUUCGGCAAACAGUGAGAUUAACAGUGUCUAUCAGCUAACAUUCCGCGCUACACCGACAUGAACGGGGCCUCAGUCUAGAAUGUGCGUACCGUGGGAGAAGCUGACUGUCGUGCGUCUCCACACGAAUGUCGCCAGCGGUGCCGGCGCUGGCCGCCGUACGCCUCCACAAGAACGUAGCCAGAGGUGGCGGCGCAGCUAGAGGACGGCAGUCUACGAGAGCGUACUGUGGGAGCGAGAGGAUCGCCGAACCACGGCGCUGACGUAUCGGCAUGGCGGGGAGGGCGGCUUUGGCGGAGCGAAUGGAGUGGAGGGGGACAGGGGGGAGGGGGUUUGGGGAAUAUUAUUGGCUAGUUGGUCGAAGGGCAGUUGAAUCGGAUUUGGGGGGAAUUUUUGGGUGUGGGGGAGAGGAUUUUCGCGCGGUGGGCGGGGGGAGUUUGGCGCAUGGUCGGUUUCUCCAAGUGCAGUCCCACGUGUCAGUGAAGAGGCAAGCCGAAGCGCGUUUCGUUUGCAUGAGCCGUGUGCAGGACCGAACGUGUGUGGGGUGCAAUGCGACCGCGACAGGAGUGUUGUGAGUGUACCGCCUUUUUUCCUUUUAAACUAGGUGCUUCACCCCCUCAAAAAAAAUUGUUGCUUCACGCGAUCCAUCUAUACUACUACUAGUAAUCCGGUAAUCCCGACUAAAACGGCGCGGCCGGGUCUUUUCCCGCGCGAUAUGCUGGGAGGUUGGCUUAGUUGGGUUUUUUAGGACGAGUAAUGCUACACCUACGUAAUCCCAGUUACGUAAUUAACGUAAUGUGAAACGUGUGAGCUGUUGAUUGUAGAUUGGGGGGAGGGAGGGGCCCACCACCAUGAAAAUCAGGGGAGGAGAGAGAGAGGCAAUUUACGUUAACCCUUUCAUAGGUUCUCAUAGAUGUAGAAAGGUGUGAAAUGCAUGAAUGUGUAGUGGACGUACUAUUGGAGUGCCUAAAAUAAUUUGUGUAUGUAUAGACCCUAUGUGUUUAUUUUACUUCGCAUGUUAGAUUUGUCUCGGUUUAAUAAAAAGCAGAGUUGGUGAUGAUGGUGUGCCUGUCAUCCUGCAAUAUAUGACGUUCGAUCUAUAUCUAACAGAUAGGAAGGAAACUAUGACAAUUUACCCGCACUCCUCUCCACAUUUGCAGAUAAGGCUUUCUCUCGUUCAUCCUUUUCUCCCACAAGAUCUUGAUCUUCCGUGCAACGCGCGGGCAUCUUGCUAGUACUCCUACAAUAUGUAUAUUAUUGUGAAAGUUCAUAUACACCGGCCGAGAUUAAUGCAAACACGGCAGAUUUUCAUUACAUUUCGAACUUUUAUAGGACAGAAAAAUAAAAGAAACCUGACCCUAAACCUAUUCUACGGCGGUGACCGACGUCCUCCAUCUGCGAUCUCUAUGUACGGGGGCGGGGUUCAAGACCCGUGAAGUGAAGGUGCGGUCUCUGGCGAGGAAGAGUAGAACACGGGAUACGGACCGGCCAGUUGGCACACCAUGCCCUGCCGCCUCCCAUGCCCUACUCAUCCUCGGAGGAGUCCCCGACCUCGGCGGUGCCGAACGUUGGACGGCGGCAAGUAGGACGCGUGGCUGACGGUGCUCCCGUCAUCGGCCGCCAGCGUGGCCACCGCUUGUGCGGUCGCGUCCGCGUCCGGCUACGCCGCUAUUGCGUCGCGAGAGGCGACUUGAGCGAGGGCGGCGACCUCGAGCUUCAUCCCCGAAGACAAGCCUUCCCGAAGAGCGUUCGCACUUGCGGUCAUGGCGGAUGUGGUGCCAGGUAGGAGGACGAUGCGCUAUGGUGUGGAGGUUAGCUGGGCAUUGCCGCUUUAAGUAGCGCAUUCCGGUGAGGCCAAGCGUUCGGGUGCGUCAUUAAGUCCCCGGAGUUGGUUCCUCGGGCACCGGGCCUCUUAACGAUGACAUACGAACGGACGGCAUGAAUGCGGGCAGCUGGCGCCGACUGGGAACGCACCACGCGACGAUGCAAGGGACGAGGGUUUUGGUGUGCCAGGGUAGUCAGCUGCGGUCGUGGCAACGUUGGAUAUGCCCUUUGCUCACAUGCGAUCCCCGCAUGUCAUUGAAAAAGCAAGAUGACACAUCAUGGUCUCAAGUCCAUAGGAUGCAGUUGGCCACGCUACACCACUCCACGGACGCGUCGCGGCGCCCCGUGCAUCCUUGACGAGCCGGGUGUUGGGGUGUGUUUGGAUUGUGGCCAAAGUGCACCUUACCAAAAUUUUGGUCAUGACCCAAAGAUUGGUCUUUGUUUGGAUGGUUGCCAUUUUUUUGGCAUGCCAAUGAACUCUAGCCAACUCUAGUUCAUUUUUCUUGCCAAUGUCGGCCAAAUCAUGGGCAACCAAUACCUCAACCAAAAUUUUGGUCAUGACCCAAAUAUUGGUCUUUGUUUGGAUGGUUGCCAUUUCUUUGGCAUGCCAAUGAACUCUAGCCAACUCUAGUUCAUUUUUCUUGCCAAUGUCGGCCAAAUCAUGGGCAACAAAUACCUCAACCAAAAUUUUGGCUACCCAAUGCCUUGAUGGGGCAACCUUGGGCACAAACCAAACAUACCGUUGGUCGUGCCACAGCACUAACGCCACCGUCGGCACACUGAAACCGACCGUGUCUAGCGACGAUAUGAGCGUGUCGCUCACCGCGGUCGCCGUGUCCAGAGGCGGUACUGGAGCUGCGCCCCGUUGUUGGCCCCAACGACCCACAUGAACGGUUGUCGGUGGUGAGGAGGUCGUGGGCCAGCUCCUCCAUUGGACUAGUCUGUGCUACGUCAUCCUGACGGGUGUGCCCCACAUGUCGGUUUCCCUAUUUUCCUGGCCAUAUUCGAGCGUCAGUGCUCCGCGUUGCGCAUUAGGCCUUUCACUAUGUAGGCCAAGCGAGACAACUUAUUGUUUAUUUGAGCCGUUCAAGUAUAAUCAUGUGGCGUUUGCUUAUUUCUCAUUCCUCUCCAACCCUCUUCUCCAUCGGUCAUGUCGCCCUCCAGUCGAGUCCAUCCUCCCGCAUGCCUCAUUUGAACAUUCCGCCGAGUAUCAUUCGCAUGUACCCAGCCUAGUCCUCUUUCAAUAGAUCUCCGGACCCCGAGAUGAAAUCGAGAGGGGACGAUUGGGGGCACGUGAUACCUAAGGCAGAUUCAAAAUUUUGAACCGGUGAUCAUAGCAUCCGCAAAUCAUAUAUAAAGGGUAUUCAAUAUUUGUUUCGUUUUUUAAUGUACAAUAUACUCCCUCCUAUCCUUUCUAGUUUACAUAUAAGUUUUAUGUGUAGUCAAAGUAUCUCUACUUUGAUCAAAAAGGUAUCAACAUUCAACAACACCCAAUCAAUAUUGUUAGAUUUGUACGUACUCCUAGAUUUGUACUCAAGAUGGUUUCCAAUUUGACUAUUGACAAGAUUAAUAGUACAUGAGAUGUAUAAUGUGAAAAUUAUAUCAUUGGAAACUCCUUUCACAUACGAAUUUGACCGUAUGCUUUGUGUAAGUUGCAUGUCAUAUAUUAUUACUCUAACAUUUGGUCAAAGUUAGCCUCGAAAAACGCAUUAGACCAUGUAUGCUUUGUGUAAGUUGCAUGUCAUAUAUUAUUACUCUAACAUUUGUGUAAGUUGCAUGUCAUAUAUUAUUACUCUAACAUUUGGUCAAAGUAGUAUAGUGGAAGUGGAUCCUCUGACGUAGGUAUCCCUGCCUUACCCUCCCUUUCGGUCACUUACUGGCGGACCCCAUGCUUGCUAGGCCCCGCAUGUCAGUUACUCAAUGGGUUCGGCCACGUCAGGGGAUCCUCAUCCGUAGAAUACUCCCUCAGUUUUUAUUUACUCCGCAUAAAAUGGAGGGAGUGGUGGUAUAAUAAAUGACAUGGGCAGGGGAGGGGGAGGGACGUCGGUUUCCUCUCAACUGCGGUCCCACAAGCGAGCAAAAACGCAAGACGAAGCGCGUUCCAUUCGGUGAGCGACGUGGAGGGUCCAGCGUGCCGGGCUGCAACGCGAACGCGACAAGAGCGAUGUACAGUCAAAACCGAUUGACCGGUCGUCACCGGAACCACUAUUCACACCAGAACCUUCGCUGCUCUGCCUACGCCAGCCACUGCCCUAAAACCACACCAAAUAUCCAGCCCAUUCCCCCACCUUUCGAUCCCCUAGCCCGCAUCAAGCGUCCCCUAGUUCGCCGGAAAGCCAUGGUGCGCCGCAAGAUCACUUACUACAAGAUGCUGACACCGGAGCGCCGCCCAGAAAUCGCGGCGGCGGUCGGCGCCACAAACCUCCAUUCCCAAGCUCGCUUUGUGGCGGGCCAAUCCCCGAGUUCUCUGGAGCCAAGCUACGAGGAGGAGGAAACCGAUCCAAUGUUCAUGGCGGAGGUCGCGGCGCAGAAGGCCCCCGAUGGGUAUGAGACGAUGGACGUCGACUUCGUGCCGGUGUCCGAGUCCCCCAUGGUGCAGGCGGACCAGCGGUUCAACAUGGCGAUACUAAAGGAGGACCGGGAGGCAGAGGCUCAACUCGACACGGAGCGCGCGCAUGUCGCUGCCAUCGAGGCUCUCCUGCAGGCGGAACCGGAUGUCGUGGAUGUGAACCGGGCGGCGGAGGCUUAACUUGAGGCGGAGCACGCGGAUGCCGCUGCCAUCGAGGCCCUCCUGCAGGCGGAACCGGAUGUCCUGGACUUGAACCGGGCGGCAAAGGCUCGACUCGACACAAAGCGCGCGGAUGCUGCUCUCAUCAACGCCCUCCUGCAGGUGGAACUGGACGUCUUGGACUUGAACCGGGCGGCGGAGGCUCGACUCGACGUGGAGCGCGCGGAUCCCGCUGCCAUCGAGGCCCUCCUGCGGGCGGAACCAGACGUCCUCGACUUGAACCGGGUUGUGCUCUCGUCCGUGCAGAGCGCCCGCACGCUUCGCUUGAACGAGCAGCUGGAGGCCAAGGACAACCACGGCGCGGAGACACACAUUGGCAGCGACGGCUGGUUUGCGCCGGCAGCCAAAGACGAUGAGGCUGUCUCUUUCCGCGAGCAGUGAUAGUUUUUCUUUAUGUUGUUGUUUUUAUGGAUCUUUUGCUGUGUAAAAACAUAUAUUUGUUAUGCAAGUCGCCUGACUUGGGUCAGUCUACCAUUUCAUGCGGUUGGAUGAAUAUCCUACGUCUCCUAACCCUUCUUUCCUUCUUCCUCACCUCUUCUUCUUCCCCAACAGACCACCGCACGGGCCGUACGAAUACUCCCCAACAUGCGGUUGGAUAAACAUACUCUAUGAACGAAAAUUAUGUGCAGCGAUAGGAUGGCUGAGUUUGGUUUGUUCACAUGCGACAUCACGUGUCAGUGAGGGUGCGUUCCCUUGGUUGGGUUUGCGGCAUGCAGGAGCGACUGUGUGAGGGUGCGGUGCGACCGCGGCGUGCAGGAGCGACCGUGUGAGGGUGCGGUGCGACUGUGACAGCCGUGUGCAAGUGUACCUCCUUCUCAUUUUGAAAACUUUAGGCAAGCUUGGCAAAAAUGUGUGGCGAAGUUUGGCAAUGCAAGGCCUAGACCCAAACAGGAUAAGUACGUACGUACUAGGAGUACUAGUGUUAAAAAAGAAAGGCGGGGUUUUCCUUCGCGGGAUUUAAUCGAUACAAAUCCUCGUUUCACGUGUCAAUUAAUGCAUAUUUUUUUCUUCAAAGACCAAAGAGCUAACCAUCUCACUCCUCAUCGCUUGAUUAAUGCAGCGCCAUGCAAACCAACCUUCUCACUUCCACAUGCAUGCAGGGGAUAUUAAUGUCCUUGGUUGCUAACCCUAUCAAUUUUUCCUCGAUUAGUGUUAGUGGCCCUUUGCAAAUUGUAAUUUUGAUAUACUGGCCUUGUGUACAAAAAAAUGGAGGUAGUAACUAUAUUUGACUUCCUUCCCCAUUGUGAUGACGUCGACGAUGUCUUUUUUUUGGUGGUUUGGCGAAGUGCGUUCGACGGAGAACACCAUUGAGGGAGACCACGGUAAGUCGUUCGAAAGUGCCGCCUGCAAGCCGAGACAACCGCCUUAUUUGCAUCCAGGAAGUCCUUUACUAGUACUACUAGGAGUACUAGUGCGGUGAGAUGGUUUCUCGAAGAAGACGAUGGAGAAGCGGAGUCAGUGAAGAGUGAAAUGAUGGUUGCUUCAUCCGUACUUUUGUGAGUUGACGCAUCACUGCUUUGUGAUUUGUGAUAGAAGGGAUAGGGGAGUAGACUCUGUGCUCUAUACUGUACUACAUGCAUCCAAGCAUGGGAGAAAGAGGAGAGUCGUUGCAUUUUUUCUAUUCCUUCCAUCAAUCAAUCAGGGAGCUUCGGUUCCAUCUUUUUGGCUUUGGCAACACCGUCCACAAUGGUUCCCACGAUGCCAAAAGCUAUUUUCACAUUUGGCUACACAUUGUGGAUGCCCUUAACCGUACCACUUGGUUUUGCUCCUGUGUGCUAUCUAUACAAAUCUCAAUUGUAUUGAUCUAAGAAAUUAUAGAAUCAAGAUUAGUAAAAAGGAGGUGAUUUUGUCGCGCGGAUGGCGGGGGAGGUUUCUUAUUUGAGCAAUGCUACAUCCACGUAAUGGUGUACGUAAAGUUACGAACUGAUGUGAUGUGGGACUAUUUGAUUGGAUUAAAGGAGAGGAUUAGGCCCACCCCACCUAAAAAUCAGGGGGCAUAUAUAGAUUAGAUGGAAAGUAUACGUAGCAGCUACUUAGCCCUUUGUAAGUCUAGGAUUAGCCUUCUUAUUUUCUGAGGACGUUGUCCUGGCGGUUUGCUAACAUGCGGUCCCACGUGUCAGUGCUUUACCAAGCCGAUCCGCGUCCCACAUGAGGCAAAACAACGGCAGAAGCAACACGUGGUUAAGUUGAAGAAGAUGAGGGAGAAGCAGAGUCAGCAACGAGUGAAAUGAUGGUUGCUUCAUCCCUCCAACUUAAUUGCGGGAAAGGUGCAGCUUUGUGAUUUGACGCCUCAUUGCUCAUUACUACGCCGGCGCCAUGACUGGGGUGCUUCACCCCGGCUGCUCUGCACUGUAUUCCGGUAUGGCAGGUGGACCCGGUAGCUUGAUGUCCCACAUGUUGGCGAAAGGGACUAGAAGAUUUAUGAAAGCGAGCGCUCCACUCUUAUGACGGAGGAGUAGACGACACGAUGGCCCAGUGAACUGUCACUUGUACUGUAUAGUACUAUAGUUUUGUUGUUUCGCACGAUCCAUCGAUACAAACCCGAUUAAACAGGAAAGGGCGAGAUUUUUCCCACGCAGCAGAUGAUACUGGCCAUACAUUUCAAAGGCAAUUUUAAUGUAUGCAAACUGAAUAAUUAUAAGUAACAAUAUGAUAUCUAGUAAAACUAAAAACACAUAUGAUUUAUUGUGUUAGAGUGUAGUAGUAGUGCUGUAUUGCAUAGUUGUUAGAUGUAACAUGCGAGAACGUGUAGAGAUGUAGUUUUGGAGGGCCUACAGAGAGAAAAGCAUAAUACGGUCACCGAACUUCAGAAUAAGCUGAUUACGGUCACUAUAUACGUUUUGCGGUGAUUAUACGGUCACUUGCUCAUAGUUCAGCAUCGGAUUGCACUCUGUUGACCGGCUAAAUAGUCUGUGCGGCGCCAUAUUAACUAGUUAAAUUGACCACGUUCCUUGUGGGUCCCACCUGUCAGUUUGCAUAGGCAAAAGGUCAGAUAAACACAAAUUUACGCAUGCGCGACAAGGCUCCAACCCGUGCGCGGGAAUCACCUGGUUGUGUAUGUGUUUGUCAGGGCCUGAUGUGUGUGCAUGCACGUGUAGGUUGAGCACUUGAGCGUGAGAGUGUGUGUUGGUCGUGUGGUGUACUGGUGUGUGCAUGCAUGCGUGCGUGUGUGCGUGUGAGUGUUGCGUGCGUGCGUGGCUGCGUGUGUACGUGUGAGUGUUGCGUGCGUGCGUGGGUGCAUGUGUUUGUGUGAGUGUUGCGUGGAUGCAUUUCGUGUGCAUGCGUGCGUGUGUGUAUAAUCACCACACCAGCUCCUGUGUGUUAAAACAGUCGGCUCAGCAUACCAAUACAAGGCCACCUUGUUCGCUGUGCCCGCGGUCAUGACUUCGAACCACCGUCCAAAUAUUUUUUUGUCGUUUGUUUUCAUUCUUACUAGCAAGAUGCCCGUGCGUUGCACGUAACAUCAAGAUGCAUUUGUAUGACUUGUUUAUCUUGUGAGAGAAAAGGAUGAACGAGGAAAGGCCUUAUUUGCAAAUGUGGAGAGGUGUGUGGGUACCUUUUUGCAAAAUUGCCAUAGUUUCUUUCCUAUCCGUCAGAUAUAAAUCGGAUGGCCUAUAUUGCCGGAUGGCAGGCGCACCAUCAUCACCAACUCCGUUUUUUAUAAGAGUGUAUUUUAUGUAUUUUAAAAGAGUGUAGAUGUAGAGUAGAUACAAGUCGACAGGUGGGCGCGAUGGUAGUGAGAUAAUGUGAUGCAACACUAGAGGUGCCAUGUGGAGCGUUUAACUGGUCAACUAGUCAUGUCAUGAGCAAAUACGGAGUUGUACGGUGAGCCCGUGACUGUAUAAUAACAACUAAACAUAAAUGGUGAGCGUAAUGAGUGGAUUCUGAAGUCCAAUGUAUGUAUCGUGCUUUCACUUCAAAUACAAUGAUCGUCAUUGCAUAUAUCGCGAGAGAAAGAUGAAACAUGCGUGAAUUUUCUGGGGGCUUACUUUUAGAGGACCUGAAGAUAGUUUUGUGUGCAUAUGUGAAAGGGGCGUACAGGGGGGUAUGCGAUGGAGAGAGAGAUGCUCUUCCUUUCUCUUUAUUAUGACUAACUUUGUAUAUAGUAUAAAAAUAUACAAAUUCACAGUGCGGAAUAAAUAUCAUUGUGGGCACCAUGCAAUGCAAAUUAGCGUUCGUACUCCUCCAUAUAACUUCGUAAUGUUGUAUAUAUGUAGAAACUCUAAAAUAAUUUUUUGGCCACACUUUAUUCAAAAGGAAUGUUGUAUGCGAAAUAAACGUGAAGAGAGGGCUUUUUAGAUCAAUGGGGUACGUGAUGUAACAUGUGUGAAUGUGUAGUUGAUGCAUUUGGCGGGGCCUAGAGAGGUAUGUGUGUGUAUUACGUAUUCGAGAGAGGCAUGGAUAGAGGGGCCAACGGGGGCGUGGGAGAGAUAGCACGGGCAAUGAGAGUGGUCUAGAGAGAGAGACAAAUAUGAUGUCACGACAAGAGAUUCCAUUCCCUUGAGUGUGUAUAUGCAAGGGGGGAGGGAAUAGAGGCACCAGGAGAAAUUUUCUCUAUGUGUGGUGUUUGUGUUGGUAUGUGUGGGUGUGAGAAGAUAAUGAGACGUGGGGGCAGAGGGUGUGUCACCGCGUGAGGUCCGGUGGGUCGAGGUGAGGCCCUUCGUUCGGUUCCGUCCUACGCCACAUUGGUCGGCCUGUGACGCAUUUAGGAAGACCCAUGGAUGACUAGUCGUACAAGACAAAGAUAGCAGAAUUGUGAAGGACUCUGUGUCCACUGACAAAGCCCGCUAAGAUUUGUAACCCUAGGUUCUCGAACUAAGGUAACCCCUUUAUCUCUGGUAUUACUAUUCAUCCAACCUAACUUUAAGGGGCAUCCUACAGAAUGCUCUGCUAGAAUCAUACUCAUCGAUUAGGAAGAGAGGUGCGAGACAAUGCGUGAGAGACAGGCGUAAAGAUAAUGUGCAUACAUGAGACACGUAGGCAGGUCCAUGUAUAUAGAAAUGGUCGAUGAGGAUUGUGCGUGUGUAUGUUUGCGAGAGGAAGAGUGCUUGUGAUAAAGGUUAGUGAAAACAGUUGUAAAUGGUUACGAGAGGGAGGGAGGGUUAUAUAUAGAGCAUGUGUGCGAGAAAGACACCUCGGGAGAGAGUGUGUGAGCAUGUGUGAGAGACCACCGAUGGAGAGUGAAACUAUACGUAAAAGACUGCUCUACACAUUGAUUAAAGAUAUAAAUUGUAUCCAAAUAUUAGGAUGGGAUCAUGAUAUUUGCAAUUCGCAUAAGGAGCGGUCAUUGAUCCAUCAGACAUCUAGAUUCUAUCGAAUUUGAGCAUGUCUAUGUUAUUAUUCGACACAAUUGUUCCACAUAGUUAGUAUUUUGAACUCCAGACAAUGCAUCGCUUUAGCAAUCGAAUAUAAACGUGAGUAUAGUUCAUGUUGUGUGUGUAAAGUACAUUAUACAAACGAAAGUUACACAAUGGACAUUAUAAAUAGCUACCUAUGAACUAGAAUACAUUUGAAUUCAACUUAAGGUGGUUUAAAAAAUCGAAUUCAAUAUGAAGUCCAUUCAAUUAUUUGAAUUUGAUAUCAUGGCAUUUGUACACCAUACCUAAAUUAUGGGGGCACCAAUCUUUGCUCUGAUUUUGUACAUAAUAGCAUAUGUAGUCGUGUACAAAAUAGAUUCAAAUUUAGCUCCUCCAUUCCAAAAUAAUCGUAGUUAUAGGAUUUUCAAGUGUUAAAAUUUCAAAAAGAAGCGGAUAAUUUAAUGAGGUUUUCAAACAUACAAGGUCAAAUAUAAUGUUGUCUAUUUAGGUCAAUCCUCAUAGUUCAAGAAUACUCUCAACGUGAAUGCUUGUGUUUCAAAAUUUCGAACGAAGCGCCAAAAGAGCCUCUACUCGCCCGAAACCGCGUGAGACCAAUGUUUGGUAGUACAAGGAAAUUACUUUUCUAAUAACUCCGACCCGUGAAACCUACCGGCCCGACGUCCAAAGGUCUAAACCGGGGUAGGUUUGUAGCUUCAUCUAGACGCCACGCAACCGCAUCCGAAAACCAUUCAUACACAAUGGCCGCCUAAGCACACAUGCGCGCGGUUGAAAUCGCUCCCGCCCACUAUUUGGGACACCUGGGAUUACCAUCCUACCCCCAACCCGUAGUAGGUCUAAAAUUUAAGAGGGGGGCAAAGUUUGUACUUUCCCCAAAUUUCAAACAAGCGCGUCCCAUCUUCUGUUCAAAAAAGCCAAAAACAAGUGCGUCCCAGACCGAAGCAUGGUUCCCCCACACCUGUCUGAUUCCCCAUUCGUACUCCGUGGGCGCCGAAACUACCUCUCCACCAGCCGCGAAACCCCGGCGUCCUUCGUUCGCGACCCCAUCCCACCCAUCAACCGCCUCCCCCUCCAUCACGCCGGAGCCGAUACCCGGACGUCGUCAUCCACCGCAACCUCAACCGCAACGCCCUCCACGGCUAGUACUUGAAGCCGAGGCCGAGCCGUCCAUACCCGAGCCAGUUCAACCACGCCGUCUUGCGCCUCACCGCUGUCGCUCCAACUUCGCCACCCUCCACCGCACCGGAGCUGUUCCUGCUACGCCAUCCUUCGCCGCCUCGGAUCAGCUUCCCCUCCGCCGACAUACAGCCACGGCAACACAGACAACAAUUUGGCCAUGGGUUCGUCCAAGCCUGCACCCUCCAGAACAUCGGUUUCCCUGGUAAAAAGAAGAAGAUCGGCACGACAUGUGGAGGUGACCACACCUACAACCGAAAAAGGUACUCCUCUUCCCUUAUUCGUGCAAAUCUUACGUCUCUGCUUGCACGGUAUUCAUCCCACAGAAGACACUAGUUGAUCGCUUCUUCUUGAUACUAGAUGUUCCUAUUAACUCGCGAUGCACAAGGUUUCUCCUCAUAUACUAUUUCACCUUGGCUAGAGGUCCGUCGCCCCCUUGAAUUUCAAUUUCUGGCCAGUUGAUUCCCAAUUAACGGAAGCAUUCCCUGGCGUAACAGGCGCUAGUAUGCUUAUUACGCCGGGGAAGCAGCGCCUUGGUGUUUAUCUUAGGGGCGUGUGCGGCCUAGAGCUACUGGCGCCCGAUCUGGAGGUCGGCCGGGAUUAAAGGGAUGGCCUGGGGGCGCUGCCAAGCACGGUGGUGGUGUGAGGUCGACGGGAGGGCGGGGCGGCGGAGGCAGGGUCUGGGCUGGUGGUCGCUGGCGGUUUGAGAAAGAUCGUCAACAGUGACUGGCGGGAGGUAGACGAAGGCCAUCUGCCCGUUCCUUAUAGAUCAGACGGUUCAUUAAAAAAAUCGACUGACCUAUUUAUUUUCAGUUGACUGUUAUCUUAGAUAUGACCACAUGUGGUGGUGUGCUGGAGGAGUACCUGCAUUUCCUGUGCUCGUAUAUUACCAAAUCAUAUGGAGUAGAGUCUAAUUUUGUUUGACAUGCAAUGUUGUAGAGCUAUCAUAUGUCUCCUGUCAUUUAUUUUUCAGCCACCUGUUAUCUGCUACUUUUACAAUGCACUAGUUCUGCACACACUUCACCCUUACUCUCACUAUUGUGUUUUUAUGCAAGGGUAUUUCAAACUCUACUGCCAUGAGAGAAGCCAAAAAGAAAAGACAGAAGUCGCUCCAGCUUCGUAUGCGGGUAGGCAAGACAUGUUAUAGCGCUAUAAAGGGUGCAAUGUCAGCAGAUGGAGACGGUAAACGUAGCUCUGGAGUUGAUGACCUCGCUCGCAAUGAACCACCAUCCCAGGUGCUUGCUUUAAAUUCGCGGUGUCAUAUGUGGUUGCAUGUUCCAUAUGGUGUCUAGCUUGUAUUCGAAAUGCCGAAGUCGGUAAGAUAAGGGAAGAUAUUUUUUUACAUGAACCACCAUCCCGUGAGCACCAGAAGACAAAUAGCUAGUCAGGGCACUGGCCGAGCCGGUGACAAGCCCAGCAAAGAUAGGCAUCACCUGGAAGCCAACUAAAAAGCUGCGAUGGUGGCGAAGCAGCCAGCCUCCCACCAAGCUCUCAGGUCCUAGAUGAUCAUGCUCACCACUCCAGCCGGAUGUCUAGCUUGUAUUGCUUCCGAUCUGGUUAAAUUGCAUCUGCUUAGCUUACACAUUAUACCUUUGAAUAUGACAUGCCUUUCUGUUUUUGGUACAUACUAGUACAUCUAUGUAUUAACCAUGUUCUUACAUCGAACUAAUGUUCUUGUGUAUCCCUCAUCAAUCACUUAUGACGAUGCAGGUAGGCAAGGGGACUACUCCUCAUUUAAAUAAUGCAGCGUCAGCCUCCCGACAUGAUUCUCAAGAAACAGAAAUGCUAGAUGAAGAUAGUGAACGUAGCUCUGUAGUUGAUUACAGCAUUUCCCCUACACAAGCAUCGCAGAUGCUUGCUCUAACUUGGCAGCGUGAUAUGUGGUUGCAUGUUGCAUAUGGUGUCUAGAUUGUAAUUCUUCCAAUCUGGUUAAACUGCAUGUGCUAGUCUUCUUAGCUUAUACAUUAUACCUGUUAAUGUGACAUGCCUUCCUGUAUUUAGUACAUAGUACAUCUGUCUAUUAAGCAUGUCCUUACAUAAAACUAUUGUUUUUUUGUAUCCCGCAUCAAUCAACAUGAUGAGACACCUUUAGUAUAUGCAAUGCGAUAUUAGUUGCAUCUUUCAUAUGAUUUAUAGCAUGCGCUGCUUCUAAUUUGUUGAAAUUCCAUUUCUGAUUGGACGCUUUUAACUUGGCAGAGUCAUAUUGGUUGCAUCUUUCAUGUGGUGUCUAGCUUGCAUUGCUUCUUAUUUGCUGGAAUGGUUUCUGCUUAGUUUACACAAACAGUUGUGAACAUGCCAUGUCGUCCUGUUUUUCGUACAUAUUCCAUCCUGGUAUCAUGUGUUUGCCUUACAUCAAAGUAGUGAUUGUCAGUAUCAUGCAUGAAUGAGUUCUGAAGAGAGAAUUUUAUUGCUUUUUCUUGUCGGUUUUACUUGACAAUUCAAAAUCAAUAAAGCGGAAGGAAGUUAGCAAGGCAGCGGAUAAAGGUGCUCCUUCCGAACGGAGGGCCUCUACAGUUUCUACUCCUCCACACCCCCAAGAUGAUUUCCAAGACAACACAUGCAUAGACACUCAACAAAGCUGUGUUUAUGAUGAGCACGUCUCCCCUAGUGCAGCAUCACCGGUGCUCCCUCUAACUUGGCACUGUUAUAUGUGGUUGCAUGUUAUGUGUGACGUCUAGCUUGUAUUGCUUCUAAUUUUGUUGAAUUCCAUCUUCUUACUUUACACAUUAUACUUGAAUAAGACACGUGUUCCUGUUUCUAGAACAUACAAUAUCUGUCUAUCACACCAUGUUCUUACAUCAAAUUACUACUGUUGUGUAACCUGCAACAAUCACUUAUCAUAAGACACGUUUGACUUCAGAGUGUGAUAUCGGUUACAUCUCACAUUCUUUUCUACCUUGUACUACUAAUUUGUUGAAAUGGCACUUAUGACGAGACAGUUUUAACUUAGUAGAGUGAUAUUCGUUGCAUCUUUCAUAUGGUGUCUAGCUUUCAUUGCUUCUAAUUUGUUGAAAUGCCUUCUCCUUAGUUUACAUAUCAUAAGCUGUGAAUAUGCAAUGCUGUGAAUAUGCAAUGGCACUAAUGACGAGAGACCUCUAACAUGGUAGUGUAAUGUUGUUUGCAUCUUGCAUAUGAUUUAUUUCUUGUACUGCUUCACAUUUGUUUAAACGCCAUUUAUGAUGAGACACUGUUAACUUGGCAGAGCGAUAUUUGUAGCAUCUUUCAUAUGGUGUCUACCUUCCAUUGCAUUGCUUCUAAUUUGGUGAAAUGUCUUCUUCUUAGUUUACACAUCAUAGUUCUGGUUAUCCCUUCCAUCCUAUUUUUCAUACAUAUUACAUCCUCCUAUCAUGUGGUUGUCUAACAUCAAAGUUCGGUUCGUCUGCAUCACGCAUCAAUUUGUUCUGAAGAACUAAAUUGUUAUUCGUUUUUCUUGUCGGCUUGACUUAACAUGGCACAAAGAAAGAGGAAGAAACACAGAAUGGCAGGGAAUGAGAAGUGGAUAAAUCCUGCAGAUUCUGCUGGUACUGAUGGUGCAAUAGAAGGUCAAAGUCCAGCAGAAAAUUCUACAAACACGGCAUCCCAUGCUACACGAGUUGCAAAAAAAUCCAAACAGAAACAAAUAGCUGCCACCAAACAAGCAGAGACAGCCCUAGUUCUUGCAACACCUACCACAGUACUACCAGCUGCACGACUUACUCAUGCGUCAACUGAGCUAGCAGCACGUUCCCAAGCUCCCUUGCCACCUGACACUACUUCCCAAGCACUCUUGACACAAGAUGAUUUGGCAAUAUCAGAUGAACCUUGUGAGCUUCAACAACAAGAAGGUAGUUGCUGGAGUCAAGUUAUAGUUGCAUGCUUCUUUAUAUGUAGUCUCACAGUUUGAUGUACACUAGCACUUCCUAUGUUCGUUGUUGGACUAGCACCUAGGCGCAAGAGGAAACAAACAUCAGGGAUAAUGCUCGAUAGGUUAACUAAAUCUAGAGGAGGAAGAAUGGAGAUCCGUUUUGAGGCAGGUUUAAAAAGUCCACGUGAUGCUACAGAGUCAGCCAAGUUAGUAUCAGAGGCAGCGGUUGCUGUUAGGUGUCAUGUACGUAUCCUCCCAACAUGGAUUCAGUACAGGAAUGACAAAGACGAAACCCAGUUCAACACCUUCCUCGACCAUUUAUCUGUAAGUAUGGUUAUGUAUGGAAACUAGUAAUAUCGUCUUGCUCUGUCCCAUACUUUCUAGGUUGCUGGUAAUGAGACUCCCAUACUUUUCAACAGAUGAGGUUCAAGUUGGAUAGCCAAGAUGAUGUAACCAGACAAGCUUGCACCCAUGUUUUCAAGUCUGCUCUGCGACAGUAUCGGUAUAACUUGAGGAAAACUCACUUUGAAGGCAAGGCUAACAGUGAACUUUCCCAAACAUCUCGAGUGGAAAAUAUAUCAGAUGAAGACUGGAGGGGCCUUGUUAAACACUGGUCUGAUCCGAAGUAUCAGGUACAUUAUAUAUAUGUGAUCAGAUCACAUGUUGAAGUCCUAUUUACGCAUGUGCCACACAAAUCUAUCUUCUUGUAGAUGAACUGUUCAAAGAACAAGGCCAGCCGUACGAAAGUGAAAUUCCAACAGACGACAGGAUCUCGUAGCUAUAUUGCACACUGCGAGGCUCUUGUAAUUAGCUGUUGUUUCACUCUUUUCGCUGUACCAUAUUAUCAGAUCUAUAUUGACUUGUUCGAAAUGCAGAGGAAAGCCUGCAAGGACCAAAAAGUACAUGAACCAAAUGCUAUGGAAAUCUUCAAGGACUGUCACACCAGCAAGAAGAAGGGCAUGACUACACUAGUCAAAGCCGCUGUUGUAAAUCCUUAAUCCUCAUGCCUUUUAACUACUACUUACUCUGACUUGUGCCUUGAACUGCAUGGUUUGCAGCCAAUGUCUAUUACUCUUUUCAAUUUUAUACACAAUUUUCUUAGCGUAUCAUUGCGCCUUACAAGGUUUAAAAGAGAGGAGUGAUGUUCCUUUGAUCUUGACCCGUAAUCUAUUUAUGUGUUGGACUUGCCCACACAACGUUACAAUUGCAUGUUUGUCUGUUCUCAGUUGUUUUGUGAUAUGAAUGAUGUCAUACUAUGCUUAUCGUAUUAUAAACUUCGUCUCUUUAUCCUUAGCCCUCAAUACAAUGUGAAGAAAUAGACAAUACAUUAGCGAUGGUACAUGGUCAUAUGUUUGGAACCUGGUUUUAUUAUGUACUUUGCAAUAAAAUACAACUAAUAUUUUACAUGGGUUCACCAGAAUAAGUUCUGUAUAUAGAACAAAGCUAUUUUGUUUGGUUUUGCUGCCUCCUUAAUAUCUUCUGUCCUGGUACUACUAAUGUAAAACCUCAACUUUUCAGCGAGCUAUGGAAAAAUGGUGGAACCGCCACCUUCUAAAGGUGGCGAGGCAACUAUAACCGCAAUGUUAGCUCUUGCUGUAGUGGGUCAGUACCUGUCCACUAACAGUGCCAAAAGCGCGUUCCUGCGUAAUACUGGGUUGGUUGUUAAGGCAAUAUCGUCCAAACUGCCUCAUGAUCAAGAUAUGCAAGCUCAAAGCAAUUUUGUAUCUGCGCUCUAGACACAAGUCCAUUCCCUAACAGAGUCCCUUUGUGAAACAAGGAGAAACAUUGCUCAAUGUCGUCAAGAUAUGCAUGGUUUUGAAACCAGACUAUCAGACAUUUGCUAUCUUGUUUAGGAGCCUAGGGGAAAUGAAGGCGAGGGUUAUGGUGCUCCAUCGGACAAUACAGCAUGAAAAUGUAACGGUCAGGUCAAAUGAACUGAGCUUCUGAACUUCUGGUGGUGCAUUUAUCUGCUAGACUGUUAAGUUUUAUGCCAACCUUCCUUUUGUUAUAUAGUUGUAAUUUGUUUUGGUGCGAUACAAAAUUUAUUCUUAGCGUGCAGCCACCGGCUGAAGAAAACAGCAAGCCAUUUUUGUAUAGUGUAGGGUGUUCCCUAUAUUUGCACUGGUGGCGAUCUUUGAUGCCGAGUGGAUGUAAUUUGUGCAAUCGCCUUAAUAGCCUAGCGUUAGUUUAGGCCUUAUUUAUUUCCUAGUCUUCUUUUUCACUGGUUUGCUAGUGGCCGCAACUACCAUGGGCCAUAUACGGGCCGUAGGAUCCAUGGGUCUCCUACGGGCCGUCGAUAAUGGGCAUGUAUCGGUGGGCCUCGGGCUGUUGGAUAAAUGGGUCUACAUGGGCCAUAAUCGGGCGUAUUUGGUAUCGGCCCAGCACGGUAACAGGUCGUUAACAUGCCGUAGGAUAGCAAAGGCUUAAUUUUAUCACAGGUAUAACAGGUCGUUAAUGGGCCAGAAUAUAGGACGGGCUGGAAACGGUGCAACGGGUUAACAGGCCAGAAACGGGUCGACUCUUGCCAUGGGCCGAAUUUGGCCCAUUAGGGUAACAUGCUAGUAACAGGCCGACUCUUGCCAUGGGAUGAAUUUGGCCCAUUAGGGGAACAGGCCAGUAACGGGCCGACUCUUGCCAUGGGCCGAAUUUGGCCCAUUAGGGGAACAGGCCAGUAACGGGCCGGAAGUAAUCGAGAGCCUAAAAGGAGCCCAAGAACGUAUGGGCCGUCAAUAGGCUGAAAGCUAACACGGGCUAGAAACGGCCCAUGUAAAUCACAGGUCAUUAACGGGUAUAAAGAAAAUUACUGUUCAUUAUGGGCUAGAGUCACCAUGGGCCUGUAAAGGGCCGAAAGAUAUGAAGGCCUCAUAUGGGCCGAAAGACAUCGUGGGCCAUACAUGGGCCGAAAGUGAAAUGGGCUGGUGUUAUAUUCGACGGCCCACAUGACGUUGUUGGGCCGAUUUCCUUUAGGGCCUAACGGGCCGUGAGUUAACGGGCCAUAAAAUGGGCUAUUUGCGAAGAGACCGUUAACAGGCUUUUCAUGGGCCAGCCCGUUAACUUUUGACCAAGUCAAACGGGCCGGCUUUGUAAGCUAAAUGGGCUAGUGGUGGGCCGUGGCAUGUGUCGACAUAUCAUAGGCGCCUAUCUGACCCACUGACGAGCUGACACGUGUUUCGUCCAGCCAAUAAGAAUUUUACACGUGGAAAUUUCCCAUUGGUCAGGGCUGUUAACGGGUUAUCGGAUCCAAAACCCGACCCGAUAGCUUAACGGUGUUCCAUUAUGAUGGAUGCCACGUGUCGGUCACCCUUAACGAAAGCACUUCUGUGACGCGCGAUUUAUCGUCAUGGAAGUGGACACUUCCGUGAUGAUAAUUUUGGUAAUGUCAUGGAACACUUCUACGACAGCACAUGUAUGACUAUCUUGAUUCUGUCAUAAAAUCGUCAUGGAUGUACAUGCAUGACAAAAAACGCGACCUACUGUGACAAACACGUAUCAUCACGGAAGUGUAUUUUUUUUGUAGUGCAAGGAGGAACUGACUAAGGCCUUAGCAGCCAUGGAGAAGCUGAAGGAAAAUUUUAAGAAGGAACGUGCAGAUUGGGAUGCCGAGAAGGCCGCUUUGGCAAAGAAAGUCGAAGACGCAGAAGCAGCCCUUAAACCGGUGGUUGAGGAACUGAUCGGUUUAAAGCGGCAAAUAAACGCUAUGACUUCUGCUGUGUUUGGUAAGUGCCCUCAUAUGGUAUGUUUCAAGUCCCCUUUACCUUAUCAGUUACCGGUUUACUGAUGCUCGCAAUGUCAUAGGGACCCGCAUUACCCAUCUGGGCUCCGAUAUGCGGAUCAAGCUGAAGGCAGCCUACACCUUGAUAGAACAGUUGUAUUCCGGAUCCCAAUGGGCUAUCUGCACUGCUGCUUACAACAGGCCUCCUCCCACAUUCAUAAAAGAAACCAUCGAGAAGCUGUCCAUCUUGCCUGCCCGGUUGGAGGAACUUAAAAAAUCAGUUGCAAGGUCAGGCGCACUGACUGCGCUAAUCCGGGCCAAGGCAUGGAUUCCAGAUCUUGAACCGGCAGAUAUUGGCCAAGGCUACCCCAGCGUGAAGGAAGAUGGUACAGGAUUCAACAAUGAUGAUCUCCGAAGGCUGACAAGGGAAAUGCGUCCUAUAGCAAGCAAAUUCGUGGAUGAAACAGAUCUGUCUCAUUAUCAGCCGGUUUACGAUGUUGAUCAGAAAAGAUAUCCUGCGUCGAUACAUGAUGUAGAGGAUCUUGUUCCGCCAAUCCGUAAGCACACUUAUGCCCCUGACAUUGAUCCUUCCCCCCUUAUAAGUGAAGAAGUCGUAUUCCAAGCGUUAACCGGAAUCGAUUGGACAACAGUUGAUUUCCAGCCACUGGGUAGAGAGGAGGAGGAUACACCAACUCAAGAUGGUCCACAAUCUUCAAGUCGUCCUGUGGAUGAAUCCUGAACUAGAGGCCGGCUUAUUUGUCACAGUCUGCCACUCGUUGUUGAAAUAAUUAUUCUGUGUGGGUAUUUAAAGCACCUUAUAAUAGGCUAGUUCAAACACUUGUCUGUUAUGCCAUCGAGCAUACUUUGUUUUGCUUGAUAUUUUGAUAACUCGCCGUGCUUUUGGGAUCUAUUAUAUGCAUAAUCCACAGUGGCUUAUUUAACUUGUUCCUGCAUACAAGAAAUUUGAAAGUGUCCUAGCGGUUUACCGCUGGACGGGUCAUGAUGCCCAAAUACAUAUAUAACCAAGGCUGUAACAUCUGGAUAUAAAAUAGAUGAUACCUGUGAUAUAUCUCGUUGGCUUACCAAUUGUUGUUAUACCAAGGGUGAUAACACCAAUAUGGAGUAUUAAUGGCUCCUUUUGUCCUUGCCGAUUUAUAUCUAAACCAUACCGGGCUAUGAUAAACACCGGUUUAACCAUAUAAUACUGGUGACUUGUAGUUAAAACCAUACCAAAGCAAAAAACACCGGAUUAUAGCUGAUCAUGUACUGACAGUUUAGAAUUGUAAGACACGCUGGGUUGUAAUAAACGCCGGUUUAUCAGAAAAUAUGUAUGAAUCUUUAUCAAAAGAGAAGAAACUUUGCAAAAAAUACAAGAAGAACAUGCAAGGCUUUUCAUGGGCUGCCAGGCCCUAAAUCGAGGAUUUUCAUGGGCUGCCAGGCCACUGAGUUAAACCAUUUUUCAAAGCCUUUUAAGAUGGACCUCAAUCUUUAACCAAUCAUCGUUUUAACUUUGACAAGUUCAGGGUCUAUGAGAUUGACUUAUCAAAUGUUCGAUGGGUCAUACCAGGUUUACCUGGACGGAGUGGCUUACUUAAAGAGGCAGGAUAACCUGGGGUUUUAGGUGAAUACACCUGGCUUCCAAGCCUGGCUUGAUAGCCUAUUACAAGGGUGCAAGCUCAUUGUUCUUUGAGAAGCAAGGAGCCCCCAAGUAAUAUUUGAGCUGUGCUCAGUGGGUACCUAUGUUUGAGUUGUGCUUUUUGCAACAGACUCUCUUUGGUUCCACAUAAUUUCAUUUUGGCUUUGAGCAUAUCAAGAGGUGUAGCUAUGGUGUAAAUACAACCAAGCCCCCUAGUGAUUUACCUUUUUGGCCUUAAGCCGAUCAAGAGGCGUAGCUAUGGUUCGAAUAUGACCAAGCCCCUAGUGAUUUCCUUUAUAUCUGUGUGGCUUUAUAAGCUGGGUUAGUAGAACUCCGCUUUAUGGGUAGAAGCUCCCAUGUAACCACACAUGAUGUAAAAACAAAGAGAUCCCGCUUUAGCUGAGGCUUCGGUUUAUUAUAUAUACAUUGUCAUAAGUAUGUACAUAAGAAGAGCCUAUGGCUCAAGUAUAGUAAGGCCGAAGAAUAGCUAUAUUCCACGGCUGCUGGGUCUCCUCCUCCGAUUUACGUGAGUCCUUGUGCUCUCGAACAUCGAUAAGGUAGUAUGACCCAUUGUGCAAAUUUUUGUUGACCACAAAAGGCCCUUCCCAAGGUGAGGAUAACUUGUGCAUAUCAGUUUGAUCCUGGAUGAGCCGGAGCACCAGAUCGCCUUCUUGAAAGGCUCUAGUUUUAACCCGGCGGCUGUGAUAGCGUCGGAGAUCUUGUCGAUAAAUUGCCGAACAUGCUGCCGCAAGAUCACGCUCCUCAUCUAACAGGUCCAGUGAGUCCUGACCUGCUUUCUCAUUAUCAACUUCAACAUAAGCUGCCACACGGGGCGAGUCAUGACAGAUGUCACUAGGGAGAACCACCUCUGCUCCGUAAACCAUGAAGAAAGGCGUGUAACCCGUCGAUCUGUUUGGUGUGGUGUUGAUACUCCAUAACACGGAAGGUAACUCCUCCACCCAACAACCCGGUGUCCGCUUUAAAGGAAACAUAAGCCGGGGUUUGAUACCUCUCAAAAUCUCUUGAUUUGCCCUCUCUGCUUGACCAUUAGAUUGAGGGCGAGCCACUGAUGACACAUCAAGUCGGAUGUGCUCACGUUGACAAAAUUCUUCCAUAGAACCUUUGGACAGAUUAGUACCAUUAUUAGUUAUAAUGCUGUGUGGAAAGCCAAACCGGAAUAUCACCUUUUUAUGAAUUGAACCGCUGUGGCCGCAUCACACUUGCUGACUGGUUCUGCCUCUACCCACUUGGUAAACUUAUCAACCGCCACCAACAGGUGGGUCUUCUUAUCCUUGGACCUCUUAAAGGGUCCAACCAUAUCUAGCCCCCAAGUUGCAAAUGGCCAAGUGAUUGGGAUCAUUCUUAAUUCCUGAGCCGGAACAUGAGCGCGGCGUGCAAACUUUUGACAACCGUCACACCUCUUUACCAAAUCCUCGGCAUCAGCAUGAGUCGUCAACCAAUAGAAGUUGUGACGAAAAGCCUUAGCCACCAAGGAUUUUGAACCGGCGUGGUGACCACAAUCACCUUCGUGGAUCUCUCGCAAAAUCUCACAACCCUCUUGAGGAGACACACAACGCUGAAUUGCUCUUGUAACACUGCAAUGAUGUAGCUCCCCGUUGACAAUGGCCAUUGACUUGGAUCGCCGGAUUAUCUACCGGGCCAAGGUUUCAUCAUCUGGCAACUCGCCUCGGUUCAUGUAAGCCAGGUACGGGACUAUCCAAUCUGGUAUAACAUGCAGAGCCGCCACCAACUGGGCCUCCGGGUCAGGAAUAACCAACUCCUCCUCUAUGGGUAUCUUGACCGACGGAUUAUGAAGUACGUCUAGGAAGACAUUAGGUGGCACCGGUUUACGCUGAGAGCCUAGGCGACUUAAAGCGUCUGCCGCUUCAUUCUUUCGCCUGUCUAUAUGGCCAACUUGAUAACCCUUGAAAUGACCAGCCAGUAUGUCCACCUAUUGUUGAUAUGAAGCCAUGAGUGGAUCCCUAGAAUCCCAAGUGACAGAUACCUGCUGAGCCACCAGGUCCGAGUCACCGAAGCACUUAACCCGGCUUAAGUUCAUAUCCUUAGCCAUCCAAAGACCAUGGAGUAAGGCCUCAUACUCAGCUGCAUUGUUAGUGCAAGGGAACAUUAAGCGGAGAACAUAAAAAAACUUGUCACCUCGUGUGGAAGUUAAUAUGACUCCAGCCCCCGAGCCCUCCAAUUGUCUAGACCCAUCAAAAUGAAUGGUCCAAUAUGUGUUAUCUGGAUUUUCCUCCGGUGCCUGCAACUCUGUCCAAUCAUUGAUGAAGUCCACAAGUGCUUGGGAUUUGAUUGUUGUGCGAGGCGUAUAUUUUAUCCCGUGAGGUCCAAGCUCAAUAGCCCACUUGGCAAUCCGGCCAGUUGCUUCUCUGUUUUGAAUGAUAUCUCCCAGAGGGGCUGAACUAACCACUGUGAUAGGAUCACCCUGAAAAUAAUGCUUGAGCUUCUGGCUUGCCAUAAAAACCCCAUACACCAGCUUCUGCCAAUGCGGGUACCUCUGCUUUGAUUCGAUAAGCACCUCACUGAUGUAAUAAACCGGUCGUUGAACCCGAUACUCCUUUCCGGCCUCCUUGCACUCCACAACAAUAGCCACACUAACAACACGGGCAUUAGCAGCCACAUAUAGCAAUAAGGGUUCUUUAUCGACCGGAGCCGCAAGGACAGACGGUUUAGCUAACUGUCUCUUCAAGUCCUCAAAUGCUUUAUCAACCGCGUCACUCCAGACAAAGUCAUCCGUUUUCUUUAACAUCUGAUAUAAAGGGAUAGCCUUCUCCCCAAGGCGACUGAUAAACCAGCUCAAAGCCGCAAUCCGGCCCGCCAAACGCUGAACGUCAUUGAUACAUGCCGGUUUAGCUAGAGAUGUGAUAGCUGUGAUCUUUUCCGAAUUACCUCAAUGCCCCUGUUAGACACCAGAAAACCCAAGAGCUUGCCUGCAGGAACACCAAAGACACAUUUGGCCGGAUUAAGCAUCAUCUUAUAAACCCGAAGGUUAUUAAAAGUCUCCUUCAAGUCAUCUAUCAAUGUUUCCUCCUUCCUAGAUUUCACCACAAUAUCAUCCACAUAAGCAUGAACAUUGCACCCAAUCUGUUUAUGAAGACAAUUCUGAACACAGUGCUGAUAAGUCGCCUGGGCACUCUUGAGCCCAAAAGGCAUAUAUACAUAGCAGAAGGCUCCAAAGGGAGUUAUGAUAGUUGUCUUCUCUUGGUCCUUAACUGCCAUUUUGAUCUGAUGAUAACCGGAAUAAGCAUCCAGAAAGCACAAACGGUCACAACCCGCCAUAGCAUCGAUAAUCUGAUCAAUACGAGGGAGGGCAAAGGGAUCAGCUGGACAAGCCUUGUUCAAGUCCGUGUAGUCCACACACAUAUGCCAAGUGUCGUUUUUCUUAAGAACCAGGACCGGAUUAGCUAGCCACUCAUGGUGACAGACCUCCACGAUAAACCCUGCUGCCAACAGCCGAGCUACCUCCUCCCCAAUAGCCUUACGCCUUUCUUCGUUGAAGCGGCGAAGAAACUGCCUGACCGGUUUAAACUUAGGAUCUAUAUUAAGUGUGUGCUCAGCGAGUUCCCUCGGUACACCUGGCAUGUCAGAGGGCUUCCAUGCAAAGAUGUCUCGGUUCUCACGGAUGAACUCGAUGAGCGUGCUUUCCUAUUUGGGAUCCAGGUUAGCGCUGAUGCUGAACUGCUUGGAUGAAUCGCCAGGAACAAAGUCAACCAUCUUAGUGUCUGUAGCCGAUUUAAAUUUCCACGCGGGAUCAUGCUCUGUAGUUGGCUUUUUCAGAGAAGUCAUGUCCGCCGGAUCAACAUUGUCCUUAUAAAACUUCAGCUCCUCUGUGGCACAAACCGACUCAGCAUAAGCCACAUCACCUUCUUCACACUCCAAAGCAAUCUUCCUGCUCCCAUGUACUGUGAUGGUCCCCUUAUGACCCGGCAUCUUAAGCUGCAGAUAAACAUAACACAGCCUUGACAUGAACUUAGCAUAAGCCGGCCGGCCGAAUAGGGCAUGAUAUGGACUCUUGAUUUUCACCACUUCAAAAGUCAACGUUUCUAAUCUUGAAUCAUGAUCAUCUCCAAAAGCCACCUCUAGAGCUAUCUUGCUAACUGGAUACGCCAAUUUACCAGGCACCACACCAUGAAAGAUGGUGCUCGAUGGUUUAAGGUUCUUAUCUGUCAGCCCCAUACGGCGGAAGGUAUCAUAGUAAAGGAUAUUGAUACUGCUUCCCCCAUCCAUAAGCACCUUGGUGAACUUAUACCCCCCAACUUGAGGUGCCACCACUAAGGCCAGAUGACCCGGAUUAUCAACCCGGGGCGGGUGAUCCUCUCGACUCCAUAAAAUGGGUUGUUCAGACCAGCGCAGAUACUGAGGUACCGCCGGUUCAACGGAGUUCAUGGCCCUUUUAUGAAGCUUCUGAUCGCGCUUACACAAGCUAGUGGUAAAGACAUGAUACGCCCACUAUUUAACUGCUUCGGAUUGCUCUGAUAACCCUAUUGUUGCUGCUGCUGAGCCCCCUGAUGGUUAUAACCUCCCUGAUUGCCCUGAUUGCCUUGAUUGCCAUGUCUGGUUUGAUUACCUUGGAAUCCUGAACCGGAACCGUUACCUCCAUAACCUGGCCCAUGAAAAUUGUUGGGCAACGUAGUAAUUUCAAAAAAAUCCUACGCACACGCAAGAUCAUGGUGAUGCAUAGCAACGAGAGGGGAGAGUGUUGUCUACGUACCCUCGUAGACUGGCAACGGAAGCGUUGACACAACGUAGAGGAAGUAGUCGUACGUCUUCCCGAUCCGACCGAUCCAAGUACCGAACGUACGGCACCUCCAAGUUCUGCACACGUUCAACUCGGUGACGUCCCUCGAGCUCCGAUCCAGCCGAGUGUUGAGGGAGAGUUUCGUCAGCACGACGGCGUGAUGACGGUGAUGAUGUUCUACCGACACAGGGCUUCGCCUAAGCACCGCUACGAUAUGACCGAGGUGGAAUAUGGUGGAAGGGGGCACCGCACACGGCUAAGGAACGAUCACAAAGAUCAACUUGUGUGUCAUGGGGCGCCCCCUGCCCCCGUAUAUAAAGGAGGGAGGGGGGAGGUGCGGGCGGCCCCUAGGGGUGCGCCUGGAGGAGUCCUACUCCCACCGGGAGUAGGACUCCCCCCUCUUGCCUUGUUUGGAGAAGGAAAGGGGAAGGGGGGAAGAGGAAAGGGGGGCGCCGCCCCGCCCAUUCCUUGUCCUAUUCGGACUAGAGGGGAGGGGGCGCGCGGCCUGCCCUGGCCAGCCCUCCUCUUCUCCCUUAGGGCCCAUGUAGGCCCAUUAACCCCCGGGGGGUUCCGGUAACCCCCCGGUACUCCGGUAAAAUCCCGAUUUCACCCGGAAUGAUUCCGAUAUCCAAAUAUAGGCUUCCAAUGUAUCAAUCUUUAUGUCUCGACCAUUUCGAGACUCCUCGUCAUGUCCGUGAUCACAUCCGGGACUCCGAACAACCUUCAGUACAUCAAAACACAAAAACCCUAAUUACGAUCGUCACCGAACUUUAAGCGUGCGGACCCUACGUGUUCGAGAACUAUGUAGACAUGACCGAGACACGUCUCCGGUCAAUAACCAAUAGCGGAACCUAGAUGCUAAUAUCGGUUCCUACAUAUUCUACGAAGAUCUUUAUCGGUCAAACCGCAUAACAACAUACAUUGUUCCCUUUGUCAUCGGUAUGUUACUUGCCCGAGAUUCGAUCGUCGGUAUUCCAAUACCUAGUUCAAUCUCGUUACCGGCAAGUCUCUUUACUCGUUCCAUAAUACAUCAUUCUGCAACUAACUCAUUAGUUGCAAUGCUUGCAAGGCUUAAGUGAUGUGCAUUACCGAGUGGGCCCAGAGAUACAUCUCCGACAAUCGGAGUGACAAAUCCUAAUCUCGAAAUACACCAACCCAACAAGUACCUUCGGAGACACCUGUAGAGCACCUUUAUAAUCACCCAGUUACGUUGUGACGUUUGGUAGCACACAAAGUGUUCCUCCGAUAAACGGGAGUUGCAUAAUCUCAGUCAUAGGAACAUGUAUAAGUUAUGAAGAAAGCAAUAGCAACAAACUAAAUGAUCAAGUGCUAAGCUAACGGAAUGGGUCAAGUCAAUCACAUCAUUCUCCUAAUGAUGUGAUCUCGUUAAUCAAAUGACAACUCAUGUCUAUGGUUAGGAAACGUAACCAUCUUCGAUCAACGAGCUAGUCAAGUAGAGGCAUACUAGUGACACUCUGUUUGUCUAUGUAUUCACACAUGUAUUAUGUUUCCGGUUAAUACAAUUCUAGCAUGAAUAAUAAACAUUUAUCAUGAUAUAAGGAAAUAAAUAAUAACUUUAUUAUUGCCUCUAGGGCAUAUUUCCUUCAGUCUCCCACUUGCACUAGAGUCAAAAAUCUAGUUCACAUCGCCAUGUGAUUUAACAUCAAUAGUUCAGAUCACCAUGUGAUUAACACCCAUAGUUCACAUCGUCAUGUGACCAACACGCAAAGGGUUUACUAGAGUCAAUAAUCUAUUUCACAUUGCUAUGUGAUUAAUACCCAAAGAGUACUAAGGUGUGAUCAUGUUUUGCUUGUGACGGAAGUUUAGUCAAGGGUCUACCACAUUCAGAUCCGUAUGUAUUUUGCAAAUUUCUAUGUCAACAAUGCUCUGCACGGAGCUACUCUAGCUAAUUGCUCCCACUUUCAAUAUGUAUCCAGAUUGAGACUUUGAGUCAUCUGGAUCAGUGUCAAAACUUUCAUCGACGUAACCCUUUACGACGAACCUUUUGUCACCUCCAUAAUCGAGAAACAUAUCCUUAUUCCACUAAGGAUAAUUUUGACCAAUGUCCAGUGAUCUACUCCUAGAUCACUAUUGUACUCCCUUGCCAAACACAGGGCAGGGUAUACAAUAGGUCUGGUACACAGCAUGGCAUACUUUAUAGAACCUAUGCCUGAGGCAUAGGGAAUGACUUUCAUUCUCUCUCUAUCUUCUGCCAUGGUCGGGUUUUGAGUCUUACUCGGUUUCACACCUUGUAACACAGGCAAGAACUCUUUCUUUGACUGUUCCAUUUUGAACUACUUCAAAAUCUUGUCAAGGUAUGUACUCAUUGAAAAACUUAUUAAGCGUCUUGAUCUAUCUCUAUAGAUCUUGAUGCUCAAUAUGUAAGCAGCUUCAAUGAGGUCUUUCUUUGAAAAACUCCUUUCAAACAUUCCUUUAUGCUUUGCAGAAUAAUUCUACAUUAUCUCCGUCAACAAUAUGUCAUUCACAUAUACUUAUCAGAAAUACUGUAGUGCUCCCACUCACUUUCUUGUAAAUACAGGCUUCACCGCAAGUCUGUAUAAAAUUAUAUGCUUUGAUCAACUUAUCAAAGCAUAUGUUCCAACUCCGAGAUGCUUGCACCAAUCCAUAGAUGGAUUGUUGGAGCUUGCAUAUUUUGUUAGUACCUUUAGGAUUGACAAAACCUUCUGGUUGCAUCAUAUACAACUCUUCUUUAAUAAAUCCAUUAAGGAAUGCAGUUUUGCUUAUCCAUUUGCCAGAUUUCAUAAAAUGCGGCAAUUGCUAACAUGAUUUCGACAGACUUAAGCAUAGAUACGAGUGAGAAACUCUCAUCGUAGUCAACACCUUGAACUUGUCGAAAACCUUUUUGCGACAAUUCUAGCUUUGUAGAUAGUAACACUACUAUCAGCGUCUGUCUUCCUCUUGAAGAUCCAUUUAUUUUCUAUGGCUUGCCGAUCAACGGGCAAGUCAACCAAAGUCCACACUUUGUUCUCAUACAUGGAUCCCAUCUCAGAUUUCAUGGCCUCAAGCCAUUUCAUGGAAUCUGGGCUCAUCAUUGCUUCCUCAUAGUUCGUAGGUUCGUCAUGGUCAAUUAACAUGAUCUCCAGAACAGGAUUACCGUACCACUCUGGUGCGGAUCUCACUUUGAUUUACCUAUGAGGUUCGGUAGUAACUUGAUCUGAAGUUACAUGAUCAUCAUCAUUAGCUUCCUCGCUAAUUCGUAUAGGUGUCACAGAAACCGGUUUCUGUGAUGUACUACUUUCCAAUAAGGGAGCAGGUACAGUUACCUCAUCAAGUUCUACUUUUCUCCCAUUCACUUCUUUCGAGAGAAACUCCUUCUAUAGAAAGGAUCCAUUCUCAGCAACGAAUAUCUUGCCUUCGAAUCUGUGAUAGAAGGUGUACCCAACAUUUUCUUUUUGGGUAUCCUAUGAAAACGCACUACUCCGAUUUGGGUUUGAGCUUAUCAGGUUGAAAAAUUUUCACAUAAGCAUUGCAACCUCAAACUUUAAGAAACGACAGCUUAGGUUUCUUGCCAAACCAUAGUUCAUAUGGUGUCGUCUCAACGGAUUUACAUGCUGCCCUAUUUAACGUGAAUGCGACUGUCUCUAAUGCAUAACCCCAAAAUGAUAGUGGUAGAUCGGUAAGAGACAUCAUAGAUCGCACCAUAUCUAAUAAAGUACGGUUAUGACGUUCGGACACACCAUUACACUGUGGUGUUCUAGGUGGCGUGAGUAGUGAAACUAUUUCACAUUGUUUUAACUGAAGGCCAAACUCGUAACUAAAAUAUUUUACUUCUGCGAUCAUAUCGUAGAAACUUUUAUUUUUUGUUAUGAUGAUUCUCCACUUCACUCUGAAAUUCUUUGAACUUUUCAAAUGUUUCAGACUUGUGUUUCAUCAAUUAGAUAUACUCAUAUCUGCUCAAAUCAUCUGUGAAGAUUAAAAAUAAUGAUACCUGCCGCGGGCCUCAAUAUUCAUCUGACCACAUACAUCAGUAUGUAUGAUUUCCAAAAAAUAUGUUGCUCGCUCCAUUGUUUCGGAUAACGGAGUCUUAGUUAUCUUGCCCAUGAGGCAUGGUUCGCAAGCAUCAACUGAUUCAUAAUCAAGUGAUUCCAAAAUCCCAUCAGCAUGGAUUUUCUUCAUGCGCUUUACACCAAUAUGACCUAACCGGCAGUGCCACAAAUAAGUUGCACUAUCAUUAUUAACUUUGCAUCUUUUGGCUUCAAUAUUAUAAAAAUGUGUAUCACCACGAUCGAGAUCCAACAAACCAUUUUCAUUGGGUGUAUGACCAUAGAAGGUUUUAUUCAUGUAAACAGAACAACAAUUAUUCUCUAACUUGCAUGAAUAACCGUAUUGCAAUAAACAUGAUCCAAUCAUAUUCAUGCUCAACGCAAACACUAAAUAACAUUUAUUUAGGUUUAACACUAAUCCCGAAAGUAUAGGGAGUGUGCGAUGAUGAUCAUAUCAAUCUUGGAACCACUUCCAACACACAUCAUCACUUCACCCUUAACUAGUCUGUGUUCAUUCUGCAACUCCCGUUUCGAGUUACUACUCUUAGCAACUGAACCAGUAUCAAAUACCGAGGGGUUGCUAUAAACACUAGUAAAGUACACAUCAAUAACCUGUAUAUCAAAUAUACCCUUGUUCACUUUGCCAUCCUUCUUAUCCACUAGACAUUCAGGGCAUUUCCGCUUCCAAUGACCAGUCCCUUUGCAGUAGAAGCACUUAGUCUCAGGCUUAGGUCCAGACUUGGGCUUCUUCACUUGAGUAGCAACUUGCUUGCCGUUUUUCUUGAAGUUCCCUUUCUUUCCCUUGUCCCUUUUCUUGAAACUAGUGAUCUUGUUAAUCAUCAACACUUGAUGCUCUUUCUUGAUUUCUACCUUCAUCGAUUUCAUCAUCAUGAAAAGCUCGGGAAUCAUUUACGUCAUCCCUUGCAUACUAUAGUUCAUCACGAAGUUCUACUAACUUGGUGAUGGUGACUAGAGAAUUCUGUCAAUCACCAUUUUAUCUAGAAGAUUAACUCCCACUUGAUUCAAGCGAUUGUAGUACCCAGACAAUCUGAGCACAUGCUCACUGCUUGAGCUAUUCUCCUCCAUCUUUUAGCUAUAGAACUUGUUGGAGACUUCAUAUCUCUCAAAUCGGGUAUUUGCUUGAAAUAUUAACUUCAACUCCUGGAACAUCUUAUAUGAUCCAUAACGUUCAAAACGUCUUUGAAGUCCCGAUUCUAAGCUGUUAAGCAUGGUGCACUAAACUAUCAAGUAGUCAUCAUAUUGAGCUAGCCAAACAUUCAUAACGUCUGCAUCUACUCCUGCAAUAGGUCAGUCACCUAGCGGUGCAUCAAGGACAUAAUUCUUCUGUGCAGCAAUGAGGAUAAACCUCAGAUCACGGACCCAGUCCGCAUCAUUGCUACUAUCAUCUUUCAACUUAGUUUUCUCUAGGAAAACAUAUAAAACAUAGGGAAGCAAUAACGUGAGCUAUUCAUCUACAACAUAGAUAUGCAAAUACUACAAGGACUAAGUUCAUGAUAAAUUAAAGUUCAAUUAAUCAUAUUACUUAAGAACUCCCACUUAGAUAGACAUCCCUCUAAUCAUCUAAGUGAUUACGUGAUCCAUAUCAACUAAACCAUAACCGAUCAUCACGUGAAAUGGAGUAGUUUUCAAUGGUGGACAUCAUUAUGUUGAUCAUAUCUACUAUAUGAUUCACGCUCGACCUUUCGGUCUCCAGUGUUCCGAGGCCAUAUCUGCAUAUGCUAGGCUCGUCAAGUUUAACCCGAGUAUUUCUGCGUGUGCAAAACUGGCUUGCACCCGUUGUAGAUGGACGUAGAGCUUAUCACACCCGAUCAUCACGUGGUGUCUGGGCACGACGAACUUUGGCAACGGUGCAUACUCAGGGAGAACACUUUUAUCUUGAAAUUUAGUGAGAGAUCAUCUUAUAAUGCUACCAUCAUAACUAAGCAAAGUAAGAUGUAUAAAAGAUAAACAUCACAUGCAAUCAAAAUAUGUGACAUGAUAUGGCCAUCAUUAUCUUGUGCCUUUGAUCUCCAUCUCCAAAACAUCGUCAUGAUUUCCAUCAUCACCGGCAUGACACCAUGAUCUCCAUCAUCUUGAUCUAUAUCAAUGUGUCGUCACAUGGUCGUCUCGCCAACUAUUGCUCUUGCAACUAUUGCUAUCACAUAGCGAUAAUUGUAAAGCAAUUAUUUGGCGCUUGCAUCUUAUGCAAUAAAGAGACAACCAUAAGGCUUCUGCCAGUUGCCGAUAACUUCAACAAAACAUGAUCAUCUUAUACAACAACUUAUAUCUCAUCACGUCUUGACCAUAUCACAUCACAACAUGCCCUACAAAAACAAGUUAGACGUCCUCUACUUUGUUGUUGCAAGUUUUCCGUGGCUGCUACGGGCUUAGCAAGAACCGUUCUUACCUAUGCAUCAAAACCACAACGAUAGUUUGUCAAGUUUGUGUUGUUUUAACCUUCGCAAGGACCGGGCGUAGCCACACUCGGUUCAACUGAAGUUGGAGAAACUGACACCCGCUAAUCACCUGUGUGCAUAGCACGGCGGUAAAACCAGUCUCGCGUAAGCGUACGCGUAAUGUCGGUCCGGGCCGCUUCAUCCAACAAUACCGCCGAACCAAAGUAUGACAUGCUGGUAAGCAGUAUGACUUAUAUCGCCCACAACUCACUUGUGUUCUACUCGUGCAUAUAACAUCAACGCAUAAAACCAGGCUCGGAUGCCACUGUUGGGGAACGUAGUAAUUUCAAAAAAAAUCCUACGCACACGCAAGAUCAUGGUGAUGCAUAGCAACAAGAGGGGAGAGUGUUGUCUACGUACCCUCGUAGACCGGCAACGGAAGCGUUGACACAACGUAGAGGAAGUACUCGUACGUCUUCCCGAUCCGACCGAUCCAAGUACCGAACGUACGGCACCUCCGAGUUCUGCACACGUUCAACUCGGUGACAUCCCUCGAGCUCUGAUCCAGCCGAGUGUUGAGGGAGAAUUUUGUCAGCACAACGGCGUGAUGACGGUGAUGAUGUUCUACCGACGCAGGGCUUCGCUUAAGCACCGCUACGAUAUGACCGAGGUGGAAUAUGGUGGAAGGGAGCACCGCACACAGCAAAGGAACGAUCAAGAAGAUCAACUUGUGUGUCAUGGGGUGUCCCCCUGCCCCCGUAUAUAAAGGAGGGAGGGGGAGGUGCGGCCGGCCCCUAGGGGUGUGCCUGGAGGAGUCCUACUCCCACCGGGAGUAGGACUCCCCCCUCUUGCCUUGUUUGGAGAAGGAAAGGGGAAGGGGAAAGAGGAAAGGGGGGCGCCCCCCCCCCUUCCUUGUCCUAUUCGGACUAGGGGGAGGGGGCACGUGGACUGCCCUGGCCAGCCCGCCUCUUCUCCCUUAGGGACCAUGUAGGCCCAUUAACCCCCGGGGAGGUUCCGGUAACCCCCCGGUACUCCGGUAAAAUCCCGAUUUCACCCGGAACGAUUCCGAUAUCCGAAUAUAGGCUUCCAAUAUAUCAAUCUUUAUGUAUCGACCAUUUAGAGACUCCUCAUCAUGUUCGUGAUCACAUCCGGGACUCUGAACAACCUUCGGUACAUCAAAACACAAAAACCAUAAUUACGAUCGUCAUCGAACUUUAAGCGUGCGGACCCUACGGGUUCGAGAACUAUGUAUACAUGACCGAGACACGUCUUCGGUCAAUAACCAAUAGCGGAACCUGGAUGCUCAUAUUGGUUCCUACAUAUUCUACGAAGAUCUUUAUCGGUCAAACCGCAUAACAACAUACGUUGUUCCCUUUGUCAUCGGUAUGUUACUUGCCCGAGAUUCGAUCGUCGGUAUUCCAAUACCUAGUUCAAUCUCGUUACUGGCAAGUCUCUUUACUCGUUCCGUAAUACAUCAUUCCGCAACUAACUCAUUAGUUGCAAUGCUUGCAAGGCUUAAGUGAUGUGCAUUACUGAGUGGGCCCAGAGAUACCUCUCUGACAAUCGGAGUGACAAAUCCUAAUCUCGAAAUACGCCAACCCAACAAGUACCUUCGGAGACACCUGUAGUGCACCUUUGUAAUCACCCAGUUACGUUGUGACGUUUGGUAGCACACAAAGUGUUCCUCCGGUAAACGGGAGUUGCAUAAUCUCAUAGUCAUAGGAACAUGUAUAAGUUAUGAAGAAAGCAAUAGCAACAAACUAAACGAUCAAGUGCUAAGCUAACGGAAUGGGUCAAGUCAAUCACAUCAUUCUCCUAAUGAUGUGAUCCCAUUAAUCAAAUGACAACUCAUGUCUAUGGUUAGGAAACAUAACCAUCUUCGAUCAACGAGCUAGUCUAGUAGAGGCAUACUAGUGACACUCUGUUUGUCUAUGUAUUCACACAUGUAUUAUGUUUCCGGUUAAUACAAUUCUAGCAUGAAUAAUAAACAUUUAUCAUGAUAUAAAGAAAUAAAUAAUAACUUUAUUAUUGCCUCUAGGGCAUAUUUCCUUCAAAAACCACCUCCUGAACCGCCAGGCGGGCCAUUGUCAUAUUGAAAUAGAUUGGAAUUUUUGAACUCCCGCAUAAUGAAGCAAUCCUUCCAAAGAUGCGAAGCUGGCCUUUCCUUCGAUCCAUGUUUUGGGCAAGGCUGAUUUAACAGGCGCUCCAGAUUGGGACCUGACCCUCCACCCCGCUGGGGCGGUUUACCCUUACGACGCUGACCGUUAUCCUGGGCGGUGGUGUUAGCCACAAAGUCCAAGCUAUUGUCUGCCUUACACUUACCAUUGUUCCCAUGACCUAUCGGGUUAUGCUGCUGCCCAUUGGUACUGUCGUUCUUUUUCCCCUUCCCCGGUUUGUCAUCCUCAGACUCAGGGUCUUUGGUACUAUCUGAAUCGGCAUAUUUAACCACAGCGGUCAUAAGCGUUGACAUGUCAUUGCAGUGGCGUUUGAGCCUUCCCAACUUCAGUUUCAGUGGCAUAAACCGGCAAUUGCCUUCAACAUCAAAACUAAUGUAUCCGCAUUGAUGCGGUCUGAUGAAUGCAGAAUAGCCGAGACUCGCUUCACCCAAUGGGUUGUAGACUCCCCAUCCUCUUGAACACAAGUGGCUAGGUCCACAAUUGACAUAGGCUGCUUACACGUAUCCUUAAAAUUCUCGAUAAACCGGCUUUUUAACUCGGCCCAUGACCCGACAGAGUUAGCUGGUAAACUCUUUAACCAAGUACGAGCUGUUCCUUCCAACAUCAUGGUGAAAUAUUUAGCACACACUACUUCAUCCACAUCCAGCAUCUCCAUCGCCAUCUCUUAACUCUCAACCCAUGACUCAGGGGGUAAAUCAGCAGUGUAAUUGGGCACCUUACGAGGGCCUUUAAAAUCCUUGGGUAGUCGAACAUUACGCAUGGCUGGGGUGAGACACGGCACCCCUAAAGAACUGAAGACCACACCUGGCUCUAUUGAAGUGGUUGGACGGACCGGAGUAAGCUGACGAGCCGCAUGCUGUGCUGCUAACUCGGCUUCUCGACGUGCUCGACCAUGAUCCACCACAUCCUGCGCAUUAGCACCACCACUUGCCGGGUUAUGCCCUCGCGGCGAGUUACGGUGACGCGCACUGCUCGACACAACCGGUUCAUCGAUAUGCCUGCUGUAACUCCGAUUUGGACGGGGGGUGGAAUGAAUCCUCUCACGGCUAUGUGAAUAAGCCUGCUGCUGGGUUAAAGCCGUUUGAAGGAGCUCUCUGGCCCGUCGUGUCUCAAUUGCCACUAGUGACUCGCUGUCAAUUAGGAGUGCUGCCAAUCGUGAAGCGGCGGCCACAAUAUUAUCCAAUGGGUUGGAGUAAUGACCCGGGGUGUUGGAAUGUGCUGCGACAAGAUGUUGUUCUGAUGAGGCGGGUCCAUCGUGCGCGGCUGAACCGGCGCCCCUGUUACUGGUGCCUCCGUCCGGUUUAUCACUGGUUCGUUACUGGUUCCUGCACCUGGCGUGUUGAAGAGAUUUCUUGGCUCAUAAACCAGCGGAAGGUGCGACCGGUAUCUUCUCCUCAUGACAUCAUCUGAGGCACCCUGAUCCAACCUAAGCCGGUAGGCCUGAGCCUCUAACUCGGCCCGCUCUGUAGCCAUCCUGGCGUUUUCUGCUGUCAGGUCUGCUUUAGCCUGAGUUAUCUGAUCCUUUACUUUUGCCACCUCCGCAUUAUGCUGAUCCUGAUCUGCCGGGUUAACUACGGCUGCCGGCAACGUUGCCAAUGCAUUGAAUAAAUCGGACAAAACUUGAGCCGGCGGGGGUGCAGUCCCUCCUGCCCCAGCCGGUGUUGCUGCUACUGAUCCGGAAACUACUGCUGCUGCAGUAGAUGAGUGAUGUGCUGCUUGUGUUCCGGCCAUGAAGAUUGCAACUCGGCUUGGCGGAUCAAGGGGGUCCGGAAUAUUGUCGCCAUCGGAACCACCACUAAUCCGGCCAUCCUGCAGCUGAUACAGUGACUCAGUUUCUCCGGUUGAAGACUCGUCGUCAGAGCAGACAACGAUUUCUCCUCUAGAUGCCGAUCCAUCCUCAUACUCUGCUCCAUGGAUAACUCCCACAAAGGCGCGCUCUAUAGCGGGCUGAACCGGGGCAGACCUCGCACGCUGAGCCGUCUCGAUGAUGUCGGUGCAGAUGUUCGGCUCAGGGCCCGGUUCGCCGAUCUUGCUGAUGAAGACGUGAAUUCCUCCAAAGGGGACCCGGUACCCGUACUCAAUUGAACCGGCCUCGGGACCCCAUCCUGCAUCGUCGAUGUAGAGCUUGCCGCGACGACUCUUAGUCAUCCGGCCCACAGCGUAUCCCUUGAGUCCUUCGAAGCUGCCCUUCAAGAACUCGAAACCAUCGUGUGAUAGCCCCACGGUGGGUGCCAACUGUCGUGGUUUUGUCACGGCACAUGUUCUCAUGAAAGGACUUAGUCGUGGAGACAUCGCUUAUGGGUUAGCUAAAGGGGUUAAAGCGGACAAGGGAUGCAAGAGUUUAUACUGGUUCGGCCCCUUUCGAUGAAGGUAAAGGCCUAAUCCAGUUGUGAUGGUAUUGCUAGGGUUUCAAUGACCAGGGAGCGAAUCCGCUCUUCCUGGCUCUAGAGUUGUUGUGUGUUUUCCCUAAACCGCCGUCGGGUCGUCCCUUUAUAUACAUAGCUUGAUGCCCGCCGGUUUACAGAGUCCCGAGGCCGGAUCAUCAAUGUGUCCAACUCGGUCUCUAUUCCUCCUAUCUUACCAUACAAGUUACAUGAUAAUGUCGGUUUAAUUCUACAGGCCUUAACCCGCCUUUGGGCCUUGGGCCAUCAUAAAGCACCACCAUCCUUUGUCCUCCUGGGCUUCUAAUCCUCAUAGAGUUAACCCGGCCACUCCUGGCCGGUUUAUGUCCAGUAGUAAUAUCCCCAACACCUCUCGACACGGGCAUGAGCAUGAAAUACCAAUUUCAACUCUUGGAACAUCUUAUAUGCUCCAUGUCAUUCAAAACAUUUUUGAAGUCCCGGUUCUAAGCCAUAAAGCAUGGUGCACUAAAAUAUCAAGUAUUAAUCAUACCGAGCUUGUGAAACGUUCAUAAUGUCUGCAUCUGCUCCUGCAACAGUUCUGUCGCCUAGUGAUGCAUCAAGGAUAUAAUACUUCUGUGCAACAUUGAGGAUAAUCCUCAUAUCAUGGAGCUAGUCUGCAUCAUUGCUACUAACAUCUUUCAACUUAUUUUUUCUCUAGGAACAUAUCAAAAAUAAACGGGGAGCUACAUCGCGAGCUAUUGAUCUACAACAUAGUUAUGCAAAUACUAUCAGGACUAAGUUCAUGAUAAAUUAAAGUUCAAUUAAUCAUAUUACUUAAGAACUCCCACUUAGAUAGACAUCCCUCUAAUCAUCUAAGUGAUCACGUGAUCCAUAUCAACUAAACCAUGUCCGAUCAUCACGUGAGAUGGGGUAGUUUUCAAUGGUGAACAUCACUAUGUUGAUCAUAUCUACUAUAUGAUUCACGCUCGACCUUUCGGUCUCAGUGUUUCGAGGCCAUAUCUACAUAUGCUAGGCUCGUCAAGUUUAACCUGAGUAUUCUGUGUGUGCAAAACUGGCUUGCACCCGUUGUAUGUGAACGUAGAGCUUAUCACACCCGAUCAUCACGUGGUGUCUCGGCACGAUGAACUGUCGCAACGGUGCAUACUCAGGGAGAACAAUUAUACCUUGAAAUUUUAGUAAGGGAUCAUCUCAUAACGCUACCGUCGUACUAAGCAAAAUAAGAUGCAUAAAGGAUAAACAUCACACGCAAUCAAAAUAUGUGGCAUGAUAUGGCCAUCAUCAUGUUGUGCCUUUGAUAUCCAUCUCCAAAGUACCAUCAUGAUCUCCAUCGUUGCCGGCAUGACACCAUGAUCUCCAUCAUCUUGAUCUUUAUCAAUGUGUCGUCACAUGGUCGUCUUGCCAACUAUUGCUUUUGCAACUAUUGCUAUUGCAUAGCGAUAAAGUAAAUCAAUUAUAUGGCCUUGCAUCUGAUGCAAUAAAGAGACAACCAUAAGGCUCCUGCCAGUUGUCGAUAACUUUAACAACACAUGAUCAUCUCAUACAACAAUUCAUAUAUCAUCACGUCUUGACCAUAUCACAUCACUACAUGCCCUGCAAAAACAAGUUAGACGCCCUCUACUUUGUUGUUGCAAGUUUCACGUGGCUACUACGGGCUUAACAAGAACCGUUCUUACCUACGCAUCAAAAACCACAACGCAGUAUAGUGAUUGCUUUUUGAUCUUCAAAAAGAACCAUGUUCAUUGAAUCCGAUUCAACUAAAGUUGGAGAAACAGACACCCACUAGCCACAUGUGUGCGAAGCACGUCGGUAGAACCAGUCUCGCGUAAGCGUACGCAUAAUGUCAGUCUGAGCCGCUUCAUCCAACAAUACCGCUGACUCAAAAAUCAACUAGUGACGGUAAGCAAUAUGUAUAUACCCACGCCCACAACUCCUUUGUGUUCUACCGGUGCAUAUAACUGUUGGGGAACGUAGUAAUUUCAAAAAAAUUCCUACGCACACGCAAGAUCAUGGUGAUGCAUAGCAACGAGAGGGGAGAGUGUUGUCCACGUACCCUCGUAGACCGAAAGCGGAAGCGUUAGCACAACGCGGUUGAUGUAGUCGUACGUCUUCAUGAUCCGACCGAUCCAAGUACCGAACGCACGGCACCUCCGAGUUCAGCACACGUUCAGCUCGAUGACGUCCCGCGAACUCCAACCCAAUAGAGCUUCACGGGAGAGUUCCAUCAGCAUGACAGCGUGGUGACGAUGAUGAUGUUCUACCGUCGCAGGGCUUCGCCUAAGCACCGCUACGAUAUGAUCGAGGUGGAUUAUGGUGGAAGGGGGCACCGCACACGGCUAAGAGAUCAAGAGAUCAAUUGUUGUGUCUAUGGGGUGCCCCUGGCCACGUAUAUAAAGGAGUAGAGGAGGAGGGGGCGGCCAAGAGGAGGAGGCACGCCCAAGGGGGGCAAUCCUACUCCAAGUAGGUUUUGCCCCGCCCCCCCUUUCCUAUUCCAACUAGGAGAAGGCGGAAGGAGGAGAUGGAGAGAAGGAAGGAGAAGGGGCGCCGCGCCCCCUUCCCUUUCCCAAUUCGGAUUGGGGCAAGGGGGCUGCGCGCCACCCCCUGCUGCCUCUCCUCUUCCACUACUUUGGGCCCAUGAGGCCCAAUAACCCCCGGGGGGUUCCGCUAACCCCCCGGUACUCCGGUAUAUAUCCGAUAACCCCCGGAACCAUUCCGGUGUCCGAAUAUAGUCGUCCAAUAUAUCAAUCUUCAUGUCUCGACCAUUUCGAGACUCCUCGUCAUGUCCGUGAUCACAUCUGGGACUCCGAACAACCUUCGGUACAUCAAAAAUCAUAAACUCAUAAUAUAACCGGCAUCGAAACGUUAAGCGUGCAGACCCUACGGGUUCGAGAACUAUGUAGGCAUGACCGAGACAUGUCUCUGGUCAAUAACCAAUAGCGGAACCUAGAUGCUCAUAUUGGCUCCCACAUAUUUUAUGAAGAUCUUUAUCGGUCAGACCGCAUAACAACAUACGUUAUUCCCUUUGUCAUCGGUAUGUUACUUGCCCGAGAUUCGAUCGUCAGUAUCUCAAUACCUAGUUCAAUCUCGUUACCGGCAAGUCUCUUUAUUCAUUCCGUAAUACAUCAUUCCGCAACUAACUCAUUUAGUUGCAAUGCUUGCAAGGCUUAAGUGAUGUGCAUUACCGAGAGGGCCCAGAGAUACCUCUCCGAUAAUCAGAGUGACAAAUCCUAAUCUCGAAAUACGCCAACCCAACAAGUACCUUUGGAGACACCUAUAGAGCACCUUUAUAAUCACCCAGUUACGUUGUGACGUUUGGUAGCACACAAAGUGUUCCUCCGAUAAACGGGAGUUGCAUAAUCUCAUAGUCAUAGGAACAUGUAUAAGUUAUGAAGAAAGCAAUAGCAACAAACUAAACGAUCAAGUGCUAUGCUUACGGAAUGGGUCAAGUCAAUCACAUCAUUCUCUAAUGAUGUAACCCCGUUAAUCAAAUGACAACUCAUGUCUAUGGCUAAGAAACUUAACCAUCUUUGAUUCAACAAGCUAGUGAAGUAGAGGCAUACUAGUGACAUACUGUUUAUCUAUGUAUUCACACAUGUAUUAUGUUUCCGGUUAAUACAAUUCUAGCAUGAAUAAUAAACAUUUAUCAUGAUAUAAGGAAAUAAAUAAUAACUUUAUUAUUGCCUCUAGGGCAUAUUUCCUUCAGUCUCCCACUUGCACUAGAGUCAAUAAUCUAGUUCACAUCGCCAUGUGAUUUAACAUCAAUAGUUCACAUUACCAUGUGAUUAACACCCAUAGUUCACAUCGUCAUGUGACCAACACCCAAAGGGUUUACUAGAGUCAAUAAUCUAGUUCGCAUUGCUAUGUGAUUAAUACCCAAAGAGUACUAAGGUGUGAUCAUGUUUUGCUUGUGAGGCAAGUUUAGUCAACGAGUCCGGCACAUUCAGAUCCGUAUGUAUUUUGCAAAUUUCUAUGUCAACAAUGCUCUGCACGGAGCUACUCUAGCUAAUUGCUCCCACUUUCAAUAUGUAUCCAGACUGAGACUUUGAGUCAUCUGGAUCAGUGUCAAAACUUGCAUCAACGUAACUAUCGGUGUCAAAACCGGCGGAUCUCAGGUAGGGGGUCCCGAACUGUGCGUCUAGGCCGGAUGGUAACAGGAGGCAAGGGACACGAAGUUUUACCCAGGUUUGGGCCCUCUUGAUGGAGGUAAAACCCUAUGUCCUGCUUGAUUAAUAUUGAAGAUAUGGGUAUUACAAGAGUAGAUCUACCACGAGAUCAGAGAGGCUAAACCCUAGAAGCUAGCCUACGGUAUGAUUGUAUGUUGUGAUUGUUGUCCUACGGACUAAAACCCUCCGGUUUAUAUAGACACCGGAGAGGGUUAGGGUUACACAAGGUCGGUUACAAAGGAGGAGAUAUCCAUAUAUGUAUUGCCUAGCUUGCCUUCCACGCCAAGCAGAGUCCCAUCCAGACACGAGACGAAGUCUUCAAUCUUGUAUCUUCAUAGUCUAACAGUCCGGCCAAUGGAGAUAGUCCGGCUGUCCGGAGACCCCCUAAUCCAGGACUCCCACAGUAGCCCCUGAACCAGGCUUCAAUGACGAUGAGUCCGGCGCGCAGUUAUCUUCGGCAUUGCAAGGCGGGUUCCUUCUCCGAAUACAUUACAAAAGAAGUUGAAUACGAGGAUAGUGUCCGACCCUGCAAAAUAAGUCCCACAUUUCACCGUAGAGAGAAUAAUGUUUUUUCGCAGAUCUAAUUUGCUGGCUUGUUUUGCUAAUAUGAUGUUAUGUCAUGGCCCGGUAAUUAUUCGAACCGUUUCUUUUAACCAGCCCCGCACAUAACGCGAGGCAGUUUUUUGACACGUCUUGUCAAAGCAGAGAUCGUGUCCCCUUAUUAUGGGAUUCUCAUCAAUACGGGCGUGGGUAACCCAACUGCGCCAUCAACCGCGGCGCUUGGGGGAUAAGCGAGUUUUACUAUGCAAGUGGGGACGUUUAACUUUGUCUGCCCAUAUAAAGGGAUAAGGAUUCACCUUUCUAUCCAGGCCUUCUUCCUCCUCUGCUCAUCCGCUCCCGCAUACUUGAGCUCUAGCGCCCAAGUCCUCACUUCCAUCUCAACCUUCUCCAACCAUGUCCGGAGUGGGAGGCAAGUGGAUGGUCUCCUCCGUCAUGGAGGGAGACAUCAAGAAACUAAGGAGAGCCGGAUACCUGCACGACGACAUCGCGCACCGGCUCCCAGAUGAGGGACAGCUCAUCCCCACCCCCGAGCCCCAUGAGAGGGUGGUAUUCCUCACCCAUUUCCUCAGCGGACUAGGAUUCCCUCUCCAUCCCUUUGUCCGGGGGCUCAUGUUUUAUUACGGCCUGGAUUUCCAUGAUCUAGCCUGAAAUUUCAUCCUCAACAUCUCGGCGUUUAUCGUCGUGUGCGAGGCCUUCCUCCGCAUCAAGCCCCACUUCGGCUUAUGGCUGAAGACCUUCAAUGUCAAGCCGAAGGUAGUGAGAAGCCGCCAGGCGGAGUGCGGAUGCGCCAUGGUGGGCAAGAUGCCCAACAUCACAUGGCUCGAGGGCACCUUCGUGGACACCAUAAAGGGGUGGCAAUCGGGGUGGUUCUAUAUCACCGAGCCGCGCGACCCCGCAUGGGUAGCGGCCCCCAAGUUCCGAUCCGGCAUCCCCAUGCGGCUCACCUCCUGGAAAGAGAAGGGCCUAUCCUGGGGUAAUUCCAAAGAGUUGACCGGACUCCAGUCAUGUAUUCAGAACAUGGUGGAUAAGAAGCUCAAGCUUGUCAACAUAGUCCAGGUUAUGCUCGUUCGCCGGAUUCUCCCAUGCCAACAACGGGAGUUUACCUUGUGGGAGUUCAAUCCGGCGCAGCACCGAACUCUGAACAGGCUCUUCGACACGACUCAUGAAGAUGCCUGGAGGGUGCUGUUCAAGGGCGCCGCGGUCCCUCCCCCCAUUACUGAGGAUCGCGGGUUCAGCACGAAGCGCCACGCCAGUGCGGUAAGUUGUUUUACCUCUUACAGGAUAUUUGUUUUAUAUAUAUAUAUAUAUAUAUAUAUAUAUAUAUAUAUAUAUAUAUUGGCUCUAUGCGGGAUCUAAACUCCCGUAAUUUUGACAGGACUGGCAGAAGAUGGCCGGACAGAUCGACUGUCCAGCUCCCUUGCCCGAAGGCCCCGCAAACGCUCUUCUGACGAAGAUGCUGACUCCGGCCCCCUAUAAGGUGUCGGAGAAGACCAAGAAGGCCAAGGGAGCUUGAAAGAGUUCCCGACGCCAGGCGUCGUCGGACUCACCGUCCGAUGAUUCUGCGGCGCACUCUUCCCCCGAAGACGAGGAAGAGGAAGAAGAGGCUCCCCCACCGACUGGGGGAGACAAGAAAAGGAAGGCUGCCCCAACUGGGGAGGCCGAAGGGUCCAAGAAGGGAAGGACGCUCCUUCUGGCAGCUCCACCGCCGCCGACGACAGUGAAGACGAGUGGUUGCCUAAGGGCAAGCCCCAGGGGAGAUCGUAAGUGUUCGGAUACCAAAGUAACCCAUAGGAUUCCUUUGUCGCAUUGCUUUCCCUAACGCCGAACUCAAUUGUACAGGCCGCCCCUAGCCAAUAUCGAGGUAUCCUCGGACGGCUCCCUGGCUUCGUCGGACAUGGAUAGUGAUCCAGUCCCGACGGCCACCUCCCCUCAUCCAGCCAACGAUACUGAGGUGCUGUCUCAACAGGCACCGGAUCGAGGGGGGACAGUCCCAGAGGCGCCGCAAGGAGACCUUCCGAACUCCGGGAGCCGAGGGGACGGGGUCCCCGAGAGUUCCGAGUUCGGCCCUCAGCCGAACACCGCGCCGGACCCUCCAACGGCUCCGAGCUCGGGUAGGCGGUCCCCUUCUAAGGAGGGUGAGACGCCUGUGCCGGUGACCUCUGUCCAUCCAGAGGCGCCGGACACUAUGUUGAAAGCGCUUCGCAGCGCUUCCAUCGAGGAGAAGCACCGCACUAUCAUGAGUGCGGUGAUCCAGAAGGUUCAAUCCGCCAAGAGCGGAUUGACUGAAGCCUGUACUAGCCUUCUAACAGGCUUUGAGGUGUUUUAAAAUGUAGUAGAAGUGUUACCGCAUAGACAGUAGCCCCUGAUGCUUUGUUCGGUGUUCACAAAGAAAAGCCGAACAGAGGAUCAAAUAAUAUCGCAGGAGUCUAAUAUAAGUAUGUCAAUAUGCAUAUGCAGGCUUCGCUGCUGGCGUCCGCCGCACUAACUGCGGAGGUCGCCGUACUGAAGGAGGCCCUCGAGGGGUCCAGAAAUAGCUCGGCCUUGCUAAGAGGCAGCUCGAGGAGAACAAGGGUAAGUAAUACCCCGUCUGUAGAUGAGAAAAAGGACGUGAUUGCUAAGAUGACAGGAUCAUUGUAUGUUUGCCAGGGCCACAACCGAGGUGGCGACCCUGAAGCAAGCGAUGUCCCAGGCCGAAGAAAAGGCGGCCCAGGAGCGCACCGAGCGAGAGAGGCACGAGGCUCGGGUGGGCGAGGUGCAGCAAGAGCUCCAGGCUCUCGUGACCAAGCACGAGGCGUUGGAGCUUGACCUGAAGACGAGAGAGUCUGAGCUUGCCGCGGCACGUGAGAGCGCGAAGAGUGCCAAGGCCGAGGCCCAGAAGGCCCUUCAGGAGAUCGACGCGAUGAAGAAGAUAGCGGCGGGUAAGGCUUUCUAUAUGCAAAGCAAGCAUGUAAAGGUGAAUUACCGAUUACUUACCCGAAUCCGGAGCUCUUCAGGAGCAUUCGCAGAUUUGCCCUGCAGUGUGUCCGAUGCCGCACUGUUCUACCAGGCCGAGGACGGAAGCUUGACGGAGAAGUUGUUCUGGUCUCAGUAUGCUGAGGCCGAACAUCCGGUGUCAAUGAGCAACCAGCUGAAGCAGAUGGCCGAGCUACAUAAGGCGGCCGAUCAGGCCAUGAAGGGCUUCAUAGUCCGGUUGUGGCCUGGCGACGCCCUUCCGAACAGCUUCUUCGGCCUGGUGAGGCGGCUUGUGGAUGCCUGCCCACGGCUGGAGGUCGUCAAGCGAUCCGUCUGCAUUGAAGGUGCACGUCGGGCCUUCGCCCGUGUGAAAACGCAAUGUGUCAAGCUAGACGCCGUGAAGCUUAUCAAGGAGGGGCCGCCGGAGGGCAAGGAGCACCGCCACCCCGAGAUGUACUACGAGGGUGUUCUGUCGGGCACCUGUCUUAUCGCGGAUGAGUGUUCACAAAAUGUAAUAUUUGAAUGAGACUUGCUCAUUUUUAUCCUGUGUAAUGAAAACUUGUUUCAUAUGCGCUAUGCAACGCUUGUGUGAAUUUAAAAUAUUACCUUCUGUUUGGUUGUUUAUCCAAUCUGAGAGAUGGCUAGGCCUCGGCUUCUGCCCCCAUGCCACGAGUGCUGGGGUGUUCGGGAUAAACCUGAGCACUCUUGUUCCCAUGUUUGGGUCCUUCGAGGGAGGUGCUCAGCACAACGAACAAGGCAACCGGACUAAUAAUGCUUUAUCACUCUUACUUAGCCAUAGAAUUCUAUAAUUUUAAAUUUCGGCGAAGCCCCUGGUAUUCGGAAGGCCGAAUUCGGGGUGCGAUACACGCCUGUAAGCCGGACGGAGCCGGCCCCUCGCCCUAAGCGGCAUAAGUCUUUAGGGACUCGAAAAAUCUCGCCGAACAGCGACCAGUCUCUCGCCUUAUCCUGACAGUCAGUUUUAGCUUUCUCUACUAAGGUGCUCGGCUCGGCAGAACCGGGGCACAAUCGCGGUAGUUCUCCUAGCGCUACCUUAGCCGAUAGAGCGGAACGUAAGGUACCAAAACAUAGGGGCCGGGCAAACCCAACAUUUGACCAAAGACAUGAUUCGGAGCUGAUGCAUAUAAUGCUAUAAGUUCAGGGUGCCGCACUUGUGAAAGUGUUCAGACUUUUCACACCAUAUGGUGGGUACGUAAGCCCCCGGUGCAUUGGACGUACCAGAGUGUACGGUUGCUAGACGUCAUUAAUGAACACAUAGAUAUGUAUACAUAUAACAAAAAUGCGAUAAUAGUCGUAAUGUCACGCAUUGUAUAUUAAAAAAUUGCAUUAAAGCAGAGUGAUACAGAUAGUGUAAUGAGCAAAAUAGUAGGACUAUGUCCCAUCCAAGGGCGAGCUGAGGAAUUAUGUGAAAUCUGUAAUCCACCUGGGAAUUCCGUAGUCGUCGGCCUCCUUGGUUGCUGUAUCAUGUGUUCGGCAAUAGAGCUGUCGGACAGUGUUUCCAGAGAUUGAAGUCCUGAAAGAAAAAGAAAAAUAACCAAACGGGAAGCCCCUGGUGCGGUUUAGGCCACGUUUUGGGACGUGUCGUAGUUGUGCCUCCCCCUCCCCAUCUGUGCCCAUGGUAUUUUUAAUGCAUAAUGAUGUACGCACGGCACGAACAACGUCGUUGGGCUGGGGUUGGGGUGGCCGCCGUAUUGCUACGUGAGCUCAGAUCAUGCCAGGCGGUCUGUUUGCCGAUUACCCCAAGCGCGCUUGAAGGUGUCCGGGCCUUGAAAUGCCGAACUGGUAGAUUGCCUUGAAAGGCUGCUUUGCGCUUCUGCUGCGAGGGCCGCGGUGUGCUCCUCUGUUCGGAGAGAGCGCUCUGUGUUUCCAUUGACUGUAAUAACUCCGCGAGGUCCUGGCAUCUUGAGCUUGAGGUAUGCAUAAUGUGGUACCGCAUUGAGGGCCAGUUCUUUUGGGCGAUUCUACCAAAAUCGCCCCCUUCUCCAGCUUCUCCCAGAAUCACCACUCCAUAUGUUUUUUACAAUCCUAGAUAAUUAGACCUUAACUAGAUAGGAUUGUAAAAAAAUAUGGAGUGGUGAUUCUGGGAGAAGCUGGAGAGGGGGGCGAUUCUGGGAGAAUCGCCGAAAAGAACUGGCCCUGAAUCUAGCGAAUGCGGUUCAUCCGAGCAGUGCGUGAUAACCACUGCGGAACGGGACUAUAUCAAAGAUUAACUCUUUGCUUCGGAAGUUAUCCGGGGAUCCAAAGACCACUUCCAGUGUAAUUGAGCCUGUGCAGUGGGCCUCUACGCCUGGAAUGACGCCUUUAAAGGUCGUCUUUGUGGGUUUGAUCCUUGAGGGGUCUAUGCCCAUUUUGCGCACUGUGUCCUGAUAAAGUAGGUUUAGGCUACUGUCGCCGUCCAUGAGGACUCGAGUGAGGUGAAAUCCGUCGAUGAUUGGGUCUAGGACCAGUGUGGCGAAUCCGCCGUGACGGAUACUAGUGGGGUGGUCCCUGCGAUCAAAGGUGAUCGGACAGGAGGACCAAGGGUUGAACUUCGGGGCGACUGGCUCCAGCGCAUAUACGUCCCUAAGCGCACGCUUCCGCUCCCUCUUGGGGAUGUGGGUUGCGUAUAUCAUGUUCACCGUCCUCACUUGCGGGGGAAACCUCUUAUGUCCUCCAGUGUGCGGCUACCGGGGUUCUUCCUCGUCAUUGCUAUGUGGCCCCUUGUCCUUGUUUUCAGCAAUUAACUUGCCGACCUGCUUAAACACCCAACAAUCCCUGUUGGUGUGAUUGGCUGGCUUGUCUGGUGUGUCGUGUAUUUUACACGAGCGAUCGAGUAUACGGUCCAAGCUGGACGGACCCGGCGUACUUUGUUUGAAUGGCUUUUUCCGCUGACCGGGUUUAGAGCCUUUGAAUCCGACAUUGACUGUCGUAUCCUCAGUACUUUCGCCGUUAAUGCGGCGCUUAUGUUUGUUGCGAUGUGACCUGCUGUUGCCAUCCUUGGUAUCUGAGGUACCAUGGUUCUUUGAUAUGUUGUUACUGCGAGCCAACCAGUUGUCUUCUCCAGCACAAAAGCGGGUCAUGAGCGUCGUGAGGGAUGCCAUAGAUUUCGGCUUUUCCUGACCAAGGUGCCGGGCUAACCACUCGUCUCGGAUGUUGUGCUUGAAAGCCGCUAAGGCCUCCGCAUCUGGACAGUCGACGAUUUGGUUUUUCUUUGUAAGGAACCGGGUCCAGAAUUGCCUGGCCGACUCUUCUGGCUGCUGAAUUAUGUGGCUCAAGUCAUCGGCGUCUGGUGGUCGCACAUAAGUGCCCUGAAAGUUGUCGAGGAAUGCGGCUUCCAGAUCUUCCCAACAGCUAAUGGAGUCCGCUGGCAAGCUAUUAAGCCAAUGUCGUGCUGGUCCUUUGAGUUUUAGUGGGAGGUACUUGAUGGCAUGUAAGUCAUCACCGCGGGCCAUGUGGAUGUGGAGGAGGAAGUCCUCAAUCCAUACCGCGGGAUCUGUUGUGUCGUCGUAUGAUUCAAUGUUUACAGGUUUGAAACCUUCUGGGAAUUGAUGUUCCAUUACUUCGUCUGUGAAGCAUAAGGGUGUGCGGCGCCUCUGUAUUGGGCUAUAUCGCGAUGCAGCUCGUAUGGAUCCUGCUCGCUGUGUUCGGCCCGGCCGGAUUUGCUUUUACUGUAUCCGGCGUGACGUUUACCGUCUCGUAGAGUGGUGCGCCCUCAUGAUCUGUAGAUCGAUCUUGAGUGCUUUGCUUUGUCCUCCAAUAUGUCUCGCAGGUCUGGCGUAUCUCCCCAUGCCUUUUUAUUUGAAUGGCGUUGGGGUGGAGGCUGAGCUUUCGGCAUGAAUGCCUCUCUAUCGCGGCCACGCGGUGGCCGAUCAGCCGUAUCAUAUGCUUCUUCCUCCAGUCGGGGUAGUAACAUGCGCCUUGGGUAACUCUUGGAGGGACGCUCGAGUUUAUAUUCCUCGGCUGCGAGGACUUCAGUCCAUUUGUCAGCUAGCAGAUCUUGAUCAGCUUGAAGCUGCUGCUACUUUUUCUUUAGGCUAUUUGUCGUGGCCAUAAGCCUGCGCUUGAAGCGCUCUUGUUCGACGGGAUCCUCUGGUACGGCGAAUUCAUCAUCGCCGAGGCUUGCCUCGUCUUCGGAGGGGGGCAUGUAAUUGUCAUCCUCCUCCUCUCCGCCGGCUGCUCUCUCAGGAGAGCUGGCUCCUUCAUCCUCCUGAUCUAACUCUUGCUGGAGGGAGUUUUCGUUGUCUUCGGCGCUAUCCGGAGUGUUAUUAUCUCUUGUGCCGGUAUCACCACUUUUGCUUUGGCGGGACUUAUAGCGGCGCCGUUGACGUCGGCGCUUGGGUUGUUUCUUGGAGGGGUCAUCCUCCGCUAUCUCGUCGCCGUUGCCUUCAUUGGGUGUAUCCACCAUGUAUAUGUCAUACGACAAGGUGGCUUUCCAGUGCCCUAUAGGUGUUGGUUCAUGUUCGUCUCCUACAUCGUCGUCCAUACCAUCGAUGUCUUCGGAGUCGAAGUCGAGCAUGUCGGUUAAAUCAUCGACAGUGGCUACAAAGUGGGUGGUGGGUGGGCGUCGAAUUUCUUCGUCGUCCACAUCCCAGUCAUGUUGGCCAUAAUCCGGCCAGGGCUCUCCUGUCAAAGAGAGAGACCUUAGUGAAUUCACAAUGUCGCCGAAGGGAGGGUGCUGAAAGAUAUCCGCGGCGGUGAAUUCCAUGAUCGGCGCCACUCGGAUUCAAUUGGCAGGGGCGCGGAUGGUUGGGGUCCGGAGGAGAGUCCGGCACCUUGGAGUCACGGGUUGCGCAGAGGAUUAUGCUGGUGUUCGGCACGAUCGUCGUUGAGACUGCAGCCCCUGAGGCGGUGUCUAGCCACUCGUCCUCGAUUGGCGCAGUUGGCUCCGAGCUAAGGGUCUGAGCUGGUGUGGGCGCAGUCUCUGGAGUACUGUCCGGUGGCAGAGCUAGGUCAUGCCCAUCGAGAUAGUGCGGCGCACCCGGCUGUGGCUCGAAUCCAUCGAAGAUCAAGUCUUCGCGGAUGUCGGCCGUGUAGUUCAAACUUCCAAAUCUGACCUGAUGGCCAGGGGCGUAGCUUUCAAUCUGCUCCAGAUGGCCGAGCGAAUUAGCCCGCAGUGCAAAGCCGUCGAAUACGAAGAUCUGUCCGGAGAGAAAAGUCUCACCCUGGACCGCAUUGCUAUCGAUGAUAGUAGGAGCCAUCAGGCCUAACGGCGACGACAUAGAGGAACUCUCAAUGAAAGCACCAAUGUCGGUGUCAAAACCGGCGGAUCUCGGGUAGGGGGUCCCGAACUAUGCGUCUAGGCCGGAUGGUAAUAGGAGGCAAGGGACACGAAGUUUUACCCAGGUUCGAGCCCUCUUGAUGGAGGUAAAACCCUACGUCCUGCUUGAUUAAUAUUGAAGAUAUGGGUAUUACAAGAGUAGAUCUACCACGAGAUCAGAGAGGCUAAACCCUAGAAGCUAGCCUACGGUAUGAUUGUAUGUUGUGAUUGUCAUCCUACAGACUAAAACCCUCCGAUUUAUAUAGACACCGGAGAGGGUUAGGGUUACACAAGGUCGGUUACAAAGGAGGAGAUAUCCAUAUACGUAUUGCCUAGCUUGCCUUCCACGCCAAGUAGAGUCCCAUCCGGACACGAGACGAAGUCUUCAAUCUUGUAUCUUCAUAGUCUAACAGUCCGGCCAAUGGAGAUAGUUCGGCUAUCCGGAGACCCCCUAAUCCAGGACUCCCACAGUAACCCUUUACGACGAACCUUUUGUCACCUCCAUAAUCGAGAAACAUAUCCUUAUUCCACUAAGGAUAAUUUUGACCAAUGUCCAGUGAUCUACUCCUAGAUCACUAUUGUACUUCCUUGCCAAACACAGGGCAGGGUAUACAAUAGGUCUGGUACACAGCAUGGCAUACUUUAUAGAACCUAUGGCUGAGGCAUAGGGAAUGACUUUCAUUCUCUCUCUAUCUUCUGCCGUGGUCGGGUUUUGAGUCUUACUCAACUUCACACCAUGUAACAAAAGCAAGAACUCCUUCUUUGAUUGUUCCAUUUUGAACUACUUCAAAAUCUUGUCAAGGUAUGUACUCAUUGAAAAACUUAUCAAGCGUCUUGAUCUAUCUCUAUAGAUCUUGAUGCUCAAUAUGUAAGCAGCUUCACCGAGGUCUUUCUUUGAAAAACUCCUUUCAAACAUUCCUUUAUGCUUUGCAGAAUGAUUCUACAUUAUCUCUGAUCAACAAUAUGUCAUUCACAUAUACUUAUCAGAAAUGUUGUAGUGCUCCCGCUCACUUUCUUGUAAAUACAGGCUUCACCGCAAGUCUGUAUAAAACUAUAUGAUUUGGUCAACUUAUCAAAGCGUAUAUUCCAACUCCAAGAUGCUUGCACCAGUCCAUAGAUGGAUCGCUGGAGCUUGCAUAUUUUGUUAGCACCUUUAGGAUUGACAAAACUUUCUUGUUGCAUCAUAUACAUCUCUUCUUUAAUAAAUCCAUUAAGGAAUGUAGUUUUGUUUAUCCAUUUGCCAGAUUUCAUAAAAUGUGGCAAUUGCUAACAUGAUUCGGACAGACUUAAGCAUAGAUAUGAGUGAGAAACUCUCAACGUAGUCAACACCUUGAAUUUGUCGAAAACCUUUUGCGACAAUUCUAGCUUUGUAGAUAGUAACACUAUUAUCAUCGUCCAUCUUCCACUUGAUGAUCCAUUUAAUCUCAAUGGCUCGUCAAUCAAUGGGCAAGUCAAUCAAAGUCCAUACUUUGUUCUCAUACAUGGAUCUCAUAUCAGAUUUCAUGGCCUCAAGCCAUCUUGCGGAAUAUGGGCUCAUCAUCGCUUCCUCAUAGUUCGUAGGUUCGUCAUGGUCAAGUAACAUGACCUCCAGAACAGGAUUACCGUACCACCCUGGUGCGGAUCUCACUCUAGUUUACCUACGAGGUUUGGUAGUAACUUGAUCUGAAGUUACAUGAUCAUCAUCAUUAGCUUCCUCACUAAUUGGUGUAGUAGUCACAGGAAAAGAUUUCUAUGAUGAACUACUUUCCAAUAAGGGAGCAGGUACAGUUACCUCAUCAAGUUCUACUUUCCUCCCACUCACUUCUUUCGAGAGAAACUCCUUCUCUAGAAAGGAUCCAUUCUUAGCAACAAAUAUCUUGCCUUCGGAUCUGUGAUAGAAGGUGUACCCAACAGUUACUUUUUGGUAUCCUAUGAAGAUGCACUUCUCCGACUUGGGUUUGAGCUUAUCAAGAUGAAACUUUUUCACAUAAGCAUUGCAUCCCCAAACUUUAAGAAACGACAGCUUAGGUUUCUUGCCAAACCAUAGUUCAUACGGUGUCGUCUCAAUAGAUUUAGAUGGUGCCCAAUUUAAUGUGAAUGUAGCUGUCUCUAAUGCAUAACCCCAGAACGAUAGUGGUAAAUCGGUAAGAGACAUCAUAGAUCACACCAUAUCUAAUAAAUUACGGUUACGAUGUUCGGACACACCAUUACACUGUGGUGUUCCAGGUGGCGUGAGUAGUGAAACUAUUUCACAUUAUUUUAACUGAAGGCCAAACUCGUAACUCAAAUAUUUUACUUCUGCGAUCAUAUCAUAGAAACUUUUAUUUUUGUUACGAUGAUUCUCCACUUACCUCUGAAAUUCUUUGAACUUCUCAAAUGUUUCAGACUUGUGUUUCAUCAAGUAGAUAUACUCAUAUCUGCUCAAAUCAUCUGUGAAGAUCAGAAAAUAAUUAUACCUGCCGCGAGCCUCAAUAUUCAUCGGACCACAUACAUCAGUAUGUAUGAUUUCCAACAAAUAUGUUGCUCGCUCCAUUGUUCCGGAGAACGGAGUCUUAGUCAUCUUGCCCAUGAGGUAUGGUUCGCAAGCAUCAACUGAUUCAUAAUCAAGUGAUUCCAAAAGUCCAUCGGCAUGGAUUUUCUUCAUGCGCUUUGCACCAAUAUGACCUAACCGGCAGUGCCACAAAUAAGUUGCACUAUCAUUAUUAACUUUGAAUCUUUUGGCUUCAAUAUUAUAAAAAUGUGUAUCACCACGAUCGAGAUCCAACAAACCAUUUUCAUUGGGUGUAUGACCAUAGAAGGUUUUAUUCAUGUAAACAGAACAACAAUUAUUCUCUAACUUACAUGAAUAACAGUAUUGCAAUAAACAUGACCCAGUCAUAUUCAUGCUCAACGCAAACAUUAAAUAACAUUUAUUUUAGGUUUAACACUAAUCCCGAAAGUAUAGGGAGUGUGCGAUGAUGAUCAUAUCAAUCUUGGAACCAUUUCCAAUACACCUCGUCACUUCACCCUUAACUAAUCUCUGUUCAUUCUGCAACUCCCAUUUCGAGUUACUAUUCUUAGUAACUGAACUAGUAUCAAAUACUAAGGGGUUGCUAUAAACAUUAGUAAAGUACACAUCAAUAACAUGUAUAUAAAAUAUACCUAUGUUUACUUUGCCAUCCUUCUUAUUCGCCAAUUACUUGGGGUAGUUCCGCUUCCAAUGACCAGUCCCUUUGUAGUAGAAGCACUCAGUUUCAGGCUUAGGUCCAGACUUGGGUUUUUUUCACUUGAGCAGCAACUUGUUUGACGUUCUUCUUGAAGUUCCCCUUUCUUCCCUUUGUCCCUUUACUUGAAACUAGUGGUUUUACCAUCAACACUUGAUGUUUUUCUUGAUUUCUACCUUCGUCGAUUUCAGCAUCACGAAGAGCUUGGGAAUCGUUUCCGUUAUCCCUUGCAUAUUAUAGUUCAUCACGAAGUUCUACUAACUUGGUGAUGGUGACUAGAGAAUUCUGUCAAUCACUAUUUUAUCUGGAAGAUUAACUCCCACUUAAUUCAAGCGAUUGUAGUACCCAAACAAUCUGAGCACAUGCUCACUGCUUGAGCUAUUCUCCUCCAUCUUUUAGCUAUAGAACUUGUUGGAGACUUCAUAUCUCUCAACUCGGGUAUUUACUUGAAAUAUUAACUUCAACUCCUGGAACAUCUCAUAUGGUCCAUGACGUUCAAAACGUCUUUGAAGUCCCGAUUCUAAGCCGUUUAAGCAUGGUGCACUAAACUAUCAAGUAGUCAUCAUAUUGAGCUAGCCAAACGUUCAUAACAUCUGCAUCUGCUCCUGCAAUAGGUUUGUCACCUAGCGGUGCAUCAAGGACAUAAUUCUUCUCUGCAGCAAUGAGGAUAAACCUCAGAUCACGGAUCCAAUCGCAUAAUUACUACUAACAUCUUUCAACUGAGUUUUCUCUAGGAACAUAUCAAAAAAUAGGGGAUCUAAACGCGAGCUAUUGAUCUACAACAUAGAUAUGCUAAUACUACCAGGACUAAGUUCAUGAUAAAUUUAAGUUCAAUUAAUCAUAUUACUUAAGAACUCCCACUUAGAAAGACAUCCCUCUAAUCUUCUAAGUGAUCACGUGAUCCAAAUCAACUAAACCAUAACCGAUCAUCACGUGAAAUGGAGUAGUUUUCAAUGGUGAACAUCACUAUGUUGAUCAUACCUACUAUAUGAUUCACGCUCGACCUUUCGGUCUCAGUGUUCGAGGCCAUAUCUGCAUAUGCUAGGCUCGUCAAGUUUAACCUGAGUAUUCUGCGUGUGCAAAACUGGCUUGCACCCGUUGUAGAUGGACGUAGAGCUUAUCACACCCGAUCAUCACGUGGUGUCUGGGCACGACGAACUUUGGCAACGGUGCAUACUCAGGGAGAACACUUUUAUCUUGAAAUUUAGUGAGAGAUCAUCUUAUAAUGCUACCGUCAUAACUAAGCAAAGUAAGAUGUAUAAAAGAUAAACAUCACAUGCAAUCAUAAUAUGUGACAUGAUAUGGCCAUCAUCAUCUUGUGCCUUUGAUCUCCAUCUCCAAAGCAUCGUCAUGAUCUCCAUCGCCACCGGCAUGACACCAUGAUCUCCAUCAUCUUGAUCUAUAUCAAUGUGUCGUCACAUGGUCGUCUCACCAACUAUUGCUCUUGCAACUAUUGCUAUCGCAUAGCAAUAAAGAAAGCAAUUAUUUGGUGCUUGCAUCUUAUGCAAUAGAGAAAGACAACCAUAAGGCUUUUGCCAGUUGCCGAUAUCUUUAAGAAAACAUGAUCAUCUCAUACAACAACUUAUAUCUCAUCACGUCUUGACCAUAUCACAUCACAACAUGCUCUGCAAAAACAAGUUAGACAUCCUCUACUUUGUUGUUGCAAGUUUUACGCGGCUGCUACGGGCUUAGCAAGAACCGUUCUUACCUACGCAUCAAAACCACAACGAUAGUUUGUCAAGUUGGUGUUGUUUUAACCUUCUCAAGGACCGGGCGUAGCCACACUCGGUUCAACUAAAGUUGGAGAAACUGACACCCGCUAGUCACCUGUGUGCAUAGCACAGCGGUAAAACCAGUCUCGCGUAAGCGUACGCGUAAGCGUACGCGUAAUGUCGGUCCGGGCCACUUCAUCCAACAAUACCACCGAACCAAAGUGUGACAUGCUGGUAAGCAGUAUGACUUAUAUCGCCCACAACUCACUUGUGUUCUACUCGUGCAUAUUACAUCAACGCAUAAAACCUGGCUUGGAUGCCACUGUUGGGGAACGUAGUAAUUUCAAAAAAAAUCCUAUGCACACGCAAGAUCAUGGUGAUGCAUAGCAACGAGAGGGGAGAGUGUUGUCCACGUACCCUCGAAGACCGAAAGCGGAAGCGUUAGCACAACGCGGUUGAUGUAGUCGUACGUCUUCACGAUCCGACCGAUCCAAGUACUGAACGCACGGCACCUCCGAGUUCAGCACACGUUCAGCUCGAUGACGUCCCGCAAACUCCAAUCCAGUAGAGCUUCACGGGAGAGUUCCGUCAGCACGACGACGUGGUGAUGAUGAUGAUGUUCUAUUGUCGCAGGGCUUCGCCUAAGCAUCGCUACGAUAUGAUCGAGGUGGAUUAUGGUGGAAGGGGGCACCGCACACGGCUAAGAGAUCAAGAGAUCAAUUGUUGUGUCUAUGGGGUGCCCCCUGGCCACGUAUAUAAAGGAGUGGAGGAGGAGGGGGCCGGCCAAGAGGAGGAAGUGCGCCAAAGGGGGGCAAUCCUACUCCAAGUAGGUUUUGCCCCCCCCCCCCACCCCUUCCUAUUCCAACUAGGAGAAGGGGGAAGGAGGAGGUGGAGAGAAGGAAGGAGAAGGGGGCCGCGCCCCCUUCCCUUUCCCAAUUUGGAUUGGGGCAAGGGGGGCUGCGCGCCACCUCCUGCUGCCUCUCCUCUUCCACUACUUUGGGCCCAUGAGGCCCAAUAACCCCCGGGGGGUUCGGGUAACCCCCCGGUACUCCGGUAUAUAUCCGAUAACCCCCGAAACCAUUCUGGUGUCCGAAUAUAGUCGUCCAAUAUAUCAAUCUUCAUGUCUCGACCAUUUCGAGACUCCUCGUCAUGUUUGUGAUCACAUCCGGGACUCCGAACAACCUUCGUUACAUCAAAACUCAUAAACUCAUAAUAUAACCGGCAUCGAAACGUUAAGCGUGCGGACCCUACGGGUUCGAGAACUAUGUAGACAUGACCGAGACAUGUCUCCGGUCAAUAACCAAUAGAGGAACCUGGAUGCUCAUAUUGGCUCCCACAUAUUCUACGAAGAUCUUUAUCGGUCAGACCGCAUAACAACAUACGUUGUUCCCUUUGUCAUCGGUAUGUUACUUGCCCGAGAUGCGAUCGUCGGUAUCUCAAUACCUAGUUCAAUCUCGUUAUCGGCAAGUCUCUUUACUCGUUCUGUAAUACAUCAUUCCACAACUAACUCAUUUAGUUGCAAUGCUUGCAAGGCUUAAGUGAUGUGCAUUACCGAGAGGGCCCAGAGAUACCUCUCCGACAAUCUGAGUGACAAAUCCUAAUCUCGAAAUACGCCAACCCAACAAGUACCUUUGGAAACACCUGUAGAGCACAUUUAUAAUCACCCAGUUAUGUUGUGACGUUUGGUAGCACAUAAAGUGUUCCUCCGGUAAACGGGAGUUGCAUAAUCUCAUAGUCAUAGGAACAUGUAUAAGUUAUGAAGAAAGCAAUAGCAACAAACUAAACGAUCAAGUGCUAUGCUUACGGAAUGGGUCAAGUCAAUCACAUCAUUCUCUAAUGAUGUAACCCCGUUAAUCAAAUGACAACUCAUGUCUAUGGCUAGGAAACUUAACCAUCUUUGAUUCAACGAGCUAGUCAAGUAGAGGCAUACUAGUGACAUACUGUUUGUCUAUGUAUUCACACAUGUAUUAUGUUUUCGGUUAAUACAAUUCUAGCAUGAAUAAUAAACAUUUAUCAUGAUAUAAGGAAAUAAAUAAUAACUUUAUUAUUGCCUCUAGGGUAUAUUUCCUUCAAUAACAUCUACGCAUAGACCUGGCUCGGAUGCCAUUGUUGGGGAACGUAGUAAUUUCAAAAAAUUCCUACACACACGCAAGAUGUAUCAUGGUGAUGCAUAACAACGAGAGGGAAGAGUGUCGUCCACGUACCCUCCUAGAUCGUAAGCGGAAGCGUUAUGACAACGCGGUUGAUGUAGUCGUACGUCUUCACGAUCCGACCGAUCCUAGUACCGAAAGUAUGGCACCUCCGUGAUCUGCACACGUUCGGCUCGGUGACGUCCCACAAACUCUCGAUCCAGCUGAGUGUCGAGGGAGAGCUUCGUCAGCACGACGGCAUGACGAUGGUGAUGAUGAAGUUACCGUCGCAGGGCUUCGCCUAAGCACUACGAUGAUAUGACUGUGGAGGGGGGCACCGCACACGGCUAAGGGAUCAAUGAUCAACUUGGGUGUCCUAGGAUGCCCCCCUGCCCCGUAUAUAAAGGAGCAAGGGGGAGGCCGGCCGGCCCUUGGGGCGCGCCAGGAGAGGAGGAAUCCUCCUCCUAAUAGGAGUAGGACUCCCCUUUCCUAGUCCUACUAGGAGGAGGAAGGGGGAGGAAGGAGAGGAGAAGGGAGAAGGAAAGGGGGCACCCCCCCCUUCCCUAGUCCAAUUCGGACUAGAGGGGGAGGGGCGCGCGGCCCUGCCUUGGCCGGCCCUCUCUCUCUCUCCACUAAGGCCCAUGUUGGCCCAUUAGAUCCCCCGGGGGUUCCGAUAACCCUCCGGCACUCCGAUAAUUAUCCGGUAACCCCCGGAACUCAUCCGGUGUCCGAAUAUGGUCAUCCAAUAUAUCAAUCUUUAUGUCUCGACCAUUUCGAGACUCCUCGUCAUGUCCUUGAUCAUAUCCGGGACUCUGAACAAUCUUCGAUACAUCAAAACACAUAAACUCAUAAUACCGAUCGUCACCGAACGUUAAGCGUGCGGAUCCUACGGGUUCGAGAACUAUGUAUACAUGACCGAGAUACGUCUCCGUCCAAUAACCAAUAGCGAAACCUGGAUGCUCAUAUUGGCUCCUACAUAUUCUACGAAGAUCUUUAUCGGUCAAACCGCAUAACAAUAUACGUUGUUCCCUUUGUCAUCGGUGUGUUACUUGCCCGAGAUUCGAUCGUCGGUAUCUCAAUACUUAGUUCAAUCUCGUUACCGGCAAGUCUCUUUACUCGUUCCGUAAUGCAACAUCCCGUAACUAACUCAUUAGUCACAUUGCUUGCAAGGCUUAUAGUGAUGUGCAUUACCGAGAGGGCCCAGAGAUACGUCUCCGGUACACGGAGUGACAAACCCUAAUCUCGAUCUAUACCAACUCAACAAACACCAUCGGAGACACCUGUAGAGCAUCUUUAUAGUCACCCAGUUACGUUGUGACGUUUGAUAGCACACUAAGUGUUUCUCCAGUAUUCGGGAGUUACAUAAUCUCAUAGUCAUAGGAACAUGUAUAAGUUAUGAAAAAAGCAAUAGCAAUAAAUUAAACGAUCAUCGUGCUAAGCUAACGGAUGGGUCAAGUCAAUCACAUCAUUCUCUAAUGACGUGAUCCCGUUAAUCAAAUGACAACUCUUUGUCCAUGGCUAGGAAACUUAACCAUCUUUGAUUAACGAGCUAGUCAAGUAGAGGCAUACUAGUGACACUCAGUUUGUCUAUGUAUUCACACAUGUACUAAUUUUUCGGUUAAUACAAUUCUAGCAUGAAUAAUAAACAUUUAUCAUGAUAUAAGGAAAUAUAAGUAACAAUUUUAUUAUUGCCUCUAGGGCAUAUUUCCUUCACUUCAGCGCUCGCCGGUGCUUGCUAGGCUUGCCGAAGGCAACAGCCCUCCAGUGAACUUUACUGUCAACGGCCACAACUACGACAAAGGAUACUACUUGGGUGACGGUAUCUAUCCUCAGUGGACCACUAUUGUGAAGACAAUACCCAACCCUGUUGGAGAGAAUAGGAAAACAUUUUCCCAAGAGCAAGAGAGUGCUAGGAAGGAUGUCGAGCGUGCCCUUUGGUGUUUUGCAAUUCGAUGGGGCAUCGUUCGGUAUCCUGCUAAAACCUGGAGCACGCAGAAACUGUGGGAGGUGAUGACUGCUUGUGUGAUCAUGCAUAAUAUGAUCGUAGAAGACGAGUGCCCGGAACGUCUGUACAAUCAAGGGUUUCAGUUUCAGGGUGAGCAUGGAGUAGCGGCAACAUUUGAACAGUUCACCCAAUUUCAUGAAGACAUGCGUGAUUGGGAAACUCAUGUGCAGUUGUAAAAUGACUUGGUUGAGCAUAUGUGGGCUCAUGUUGGCAACCAAUAGAUGUAUCUUCUUUUAUUCGUUUGCAAAACUAUGUGAAACAUUUUUAUUUGUAUCCGGCUUGUAAAACUAUACUAUUUUAUUCGAUAAACUAUGUUAUUUGACAAUAUGUUUGAAUGCAAAUUAAUAUAAUAUUGAGCGGCUAGCCGGCCACGCCGGCACAUAUGGGUCGGCGCGUUGGGCGCGCUGCCGAUCCAAAUCUAAAAGAGGGCGGACGGCCGACCCAAACGGAUAAAAUGCGGACGAAAUUGGCGUCCGUUUGGGUCGGCCCGUUGGAGUUGCUCUUAGGUGCGUUAGGGCGUAGUGCGGCGGUGUACUUGGUUUCUCCUGUAUUAUUGUCCGGUAGUAUUCGUGCUCCGGUUAUCUUGGGGUCGGCAUUAAUUGUAGAGGAGCCGCCUCGCCAUCUUCUAUCGCCCGGCCGUGUACUUUGUUGAAUGGUGCUUUAUAUAUAAAACAGGACGGAAGCCUGUUUCGACGAGGAGUAUGUAGAGAGAACCCCUCAAAAACAAAAACAAAACUUAUCUAGAGAGGGAAAAAAAUGCUGCACGCGGUUGUAGUCCAUUGACUUUUCACUUCGAAGUUAUGCAUGCAUGCAUCCGUAGUUCUUCCAUCGGCUUAGCUGGUUUACCUUUAUGCUUACGUGCUUUGCUGAUAAGAAAAUCCAAUUGUCCUACAUCGUUGACCCUGCUGGCCGUGCUCUCCGGCGCGCCAUCAGCUUGCCCAGCAUGCUAGCCGCCUAGCCUACAAAAGGGCACCACCCACCGCCGGCGUAACAUCAACUGAAACCAGCAACACCCAGACCCCUGCUUAACCAAUUAGCUUCGAGAUAAGCUCGCAGCCAUGGCGCGGUGGCCAGCCGCCGUGGCGGCGUGUGCGCUCGGGGCGGCCCUCCUGGGCAUGCUGAUGGUCACCGCGGACGGGAGAGGCAGCAACACCAACAGCAAGUUCACGUGCACGGACACGGAGAAGAAGCGGCCGGGGUGCACGGGCACCUGCCCCGACAGGUGCCCCCAGAGCUGCAUCUCGCUCUGCCCCUCGUGCCAGACAUAUUGCCGUACAUACUCAGCCGCCAUUACUUUCAUGAUGAACUGCUACUGUUCUUGGCCUAGCUUUUAAGGUGCCUCCUGUGCAUGUAGCUGACCAGGUGCAGCCAGUGCGGCCAGCAUUGUUUGUGUUCGGGGACGGGUUUACGGACGUCGGCAACAACAACUACCUAGAGAACAACGAAGUAGGGAACCCUGUCAGAGCCAAUCACUCUUACUAUGGCAUAGAUUUCCCCAAUUCCGUGGCCACCGGAAGGUUUAGCAAUGGAUUCAACUUGGCUGACUUCAUCGGUAUGCUAAGUUGCUAACUUUGAUCCCAUCACGCUAUGCCUAUUUUUCAUAAUUUGCUUACCGUUCAAGACAACUGACAUGGCCACUUGUGCACUGCACAAUUAUCUACUUGUUCUAACAUUAUUACUCAACCAACAACCAUUGUUUGCCAACAGGUUUCCAUUUAAUAUACUCUUAUUUUCUCAUGUAGUAUAGCCUUAAUUUGUUUUACUUUCCCGCAAAAGAAAUUGUUUUACUUUACCGACAUGGUGGCUAGCAGUUGAAAAUCAGUACUCAAAGAUAUGGGUGUGGCUAGGUGCCUAGGUCUCAGUGAGUGAGAUUAACCAAGUCUCAGUCAAGUGACAUAAUAUCAAGAGAGAAAAAGAAAAUAUUGCACGAAUCUUAAUGUAAGAUCUCACGGAUAUAGCAUCGACUGAGACUUAACGAAGUCUCAGUCAACUGAGACUUAGCAAGACUGGAAAGAUAUAUAGCAGAGUAUAUAACACCGAAUUCUAUGUGCUAUCAGCUGCCAAGAUGUAACUAAAAUAUGAAAUUUAACCAAACAAUUACAUGGGCAUAAAAAUUCCAUUCCGGUUUGACUACUACUGAAUACCAUCUUUAUUUCAAUUUAUAAGGCAUAUAACUUUUCUUGUCUUAUUUCAUAUGAUAGGAUGUGUGCAUGUGAAUUUAUCGAUGUUUCUCCUUGUUCACUAGAAUCCUAGCAAUCGCAUAUUCUGCGCUGUUCUAUGUAUAUAAGCAUGGCUAGUUUCUAUUUUCUUUGUUUUGGUUUCAUUAGCAUUUUUAAGUUUUAUGCCGGCUCAAAACAUGCAUUACAGUCUGAACUGGAUGGAACAGUAUAUAAUUCAUGAAAAAUCAGGAAGAAUAUCAAUCCUUUUAGAACGAAUGGAUAUAUUAUCUAAGCUGUUCUGUUUUUGAAAGAAUAUUGAUCAACCGGUGGUGGGUAUACCUUUGAUUAAUAUGCAGCAAAGGCUAUGGGGUUCGAGAUGAGCCCUCCGGCUUAUCUGUCUCUUGAUAGUCCCAUAAAAAUGGAGGCUGGUUUUGCUGGAGUCAACUAUGCUUCGGCGACCUCUGGGAUUUGGAGAGACAUCGUAAGUGGACACCUUCAUGCAUGGACGAGUAUUUGAAUUUGCAUGCAUAUUAUUUCAGGAAUGCAUGUGCGUUCAUCGUCAACAUACCUUCAGCUAUCAUACAUCCAUAGAUAUAUCAGUACUAUGUCCAGGAAUAUGUAAAAACAAAAUAAUUGGUAUGGAUAUAUUUAGUUCUUAGACAUGAACUACAAUUAGUCGCAUUGAUGCUAAUACCAUUUUGCAGGACACCGGACUGGACAUCCCACUGAUGGACCAAGUGAAGAACUUGGCGGACACGAUAGGGCAGAUGGGCGCCAACCGUAGCCAGCAAGACCUGAGCAAGAUGUUGUCCAAUUCCCUCUUCCUCAUCAGCACCGGCACCACUGACCUCUACUCAAUCUACAACAUCAACAACAAUGGGGGCUCAGACAGCAAAACCGAUGUCCCACACCUCAUCUCCUCCUACGGGGACAGCCUCACGGCCCUGUACAACUUGGGCGCGAGGAAGUUCGGGAUCAUCAACGUCCCGACCUUGUGCACGGCGAUGGUGCGCCAUGGCUGCGAGGGCCUCAUUACCAGCCUCCGCGAGGAGUUCAACGACGGCAUCAAGCCACUCAUGGCCGGCCUCGCCUCCAACCUCAGUGGCCUCCGCUACUCCAUCGCCGACUUCCACGCCUUCUCGGAUGCAGUCAACACGAAUCCGUCGGCCUAGGGUAAAAUCUAUCAAUGUUUUCAGAUAUUCUUACAUGGUCAUGAACCUGUCGGUUAUAUUUAUGUGGUUGUUCUGGUUGUUGUGGUUUGUUGAUGGAUGCACAGGGUUUGUGAACACCGGGGGCGCAUGCUGCCAAGGCUCCUGCGCACCUGGUUCUGGGCUGCCGUGUGCCAACCGAUCGCAGUACUGGUAUUGGGACGAGGAGUACCCGACAGAGCAGGCCGCUAAGCUGGCCGCAUCUGCGUUUUUCGACGGCACAACCCAAUUCACAACACCGAUGAGCUUCAAGACGUUGAUCAGCCAAAAAGUGACAUUUCUUUAUGUUUUCGACUUGCCGUAUCCAGAAAUAAAGCAAGUCAUCUGUGUGAGACUUACAUUGCCAUUUGCCUUUGAGUUCUUUUUUUUUCUAAUGUGCCGCUUUGUGUUGCUCGUAGCAUUCACUGGCACAGUGGCACGUUGUGUUUUAUCACCGUCUAUUGAUAUUUUCUUUUUUGACGAAAAAAUAGCGGGAGGGUGGCUGAACGUUGGCGUAGAUGGGAUUGGGUUUGUGGAAACGGUUCAAGCAUUCGCGUAAAGUGUGGGUGCAUGUGUUUAUUUAUUUUCCGACAAAGGGGGUGCAUGCGUUUAUAAAGAUGAGUCUAUGUGAGCGUCUAUAAUAUGUUUCUAGAGAAAAGGGGCGACAAUUAUAGCAGCUCUCUUUACAUACGCCCAAGCUGAAUUUUGUAGUAUCAUACUCCAUCAGGGCAGAUACAUAGGGCACGCACAUGUUCUUAGGUCAUCAAUUUGACUAACAAAAUAGUAUAUGUUAUAUGCCACCAAAAUUAUAUGUUUAGAAAUGUUAUUCGAAUAUGAAUCCAAUGAUAUACUUUUGGUUUUGUGGGAAGAAAAUGAUAAGCUGUCUGCUGGAGGGGGUACAUGGACUACGCAAAAGUACGAGAAACAGCUCAAGUGUGUGCCGGAGCUAGUAUAAAGGCACUCUUGGUGCCUGUGUCUAUUUGUACCGUUAAGGCCUCACCUCCAUACCUCUUUUUUUUGCGGGGGGGCCCACCUCCAUACUGUACUGUCUAAUGAAUCUAACAAUGCCAUGUAUCCACAUUUUGUACUGUCUAAUAAUUCAAAAGAUCACAUGUAGUGAGAUCAUUCUAGCUGGUGGUGGUCUGGAGCCCCGGCAGCCAUCAGGUUGAUCUUGGCAAUGGUGCCAGGAUGGUGGAAACGCCAAACUGAAGGGAAGAAGAAGAAAAGGCAGGCAGAGGGGUGCGUGCUGGCUCGAGGAACUAACAGGAAACUCGCCGCGCGCAUUGAUCAGAGCAAAGAGAAAACUAACCAGAGUUGAAGAAGAAGGCCCGACUAGCGACUGCACUCCCAAGCCUCCGUCCACCCUCAGAUGUAGCUAAUGCGUCGCAUACACUGCGGUGUGCCUUCCACCCAACUACCAGAGCAUCCUCCGGUCUCAUUUGAGGCCGGCACAGCUUCAUGUCCAUCGUGUCUCUGAAUGAUCGGCCUCAAUGAAACAUGGCUGAGGCGAGCGCAAAUUGGACAAUCUCUGCCUGUCUGAAUAUAUUGUGUGCUCAGUUUUAGUGGAUUUGCCAGUCACGAAUGGGGCAGUGAACUCUGCAUUCCAAGCCCUCACACCAGCCACAGGUGUGCCACGCUUAGAUUCCACACCACACCACUUGCUAUUCAUACACAAACCGAGUCUGCAAGCAUACGAGCUUAAAGCUGUUAAGAUGUUCCAGAUUGAUACUGCCAGGGGUAAACUAACAUUGUCCGCAGAGAGCUAAAGAACCCUAGAAGUCGAGCCAACUCGGGCCAACAAGACAAACCUACGCACCCUCAAGACCACCAGAAAGUAGAAACCAUCUACACUAACUCGAGUGCUCCAUGGAAGAGGCUUCACGGAGUCUUGACAAAGUGCAGGCUCAGAAGCUUGGCAAUCUCCAGGAACCCAACAC
RNAcentral lists this long non-coding RNA (74835 nucleotides) under Triticum aestivum (bread wheat). RNAcentral describes it as "long non-coding RNA (TAES_LNC006183)". Lineage: Eukaryota; Viridiplantae; Streptophyta; Magnoliopsida; Poales; Poaceae. The record is from RNAcentral.